AUCUAGGAGUGCAUAAAUAAUAUUAGAUUAAUUUCAUACAGAUCUCUGCAAAUAUAGUGAAUGACAAAUAUAUUCCUAUAAAUUUCAACUUUCAUAUCUUAUUCCUGCAAAAGUCCUGAUAUUUACAAAUAUGUCCCUCUGAUUUAUUACCGUUAGAGAACUGUUUAUAUUUUUAAUUUUGUCAUCACAAAUAUGUCCCUCCAAAAGCCAUAACAGUAUAAUAUAAGAGGGGUAAAAAUCUCACAAACUAAUCAGGAUUAAAUAUUUAACCUAUGCUUAACUAAAUUUUCUAACGGAUACUAACACCAGGGACAUAUUUGAAAACAUCAGGACUUUUGUCGGAACAACAUAUAAAAGUUGAACUUUGUAGGGACAUAUUUGUCAUUAACUAUAUUUGCAGGAACUUGUAUGAAAUUAACCCGAUAAUAUUAUUCAUUUUUCAAACAUAUAUAAUAGUAGUGAUUUCAUUUACCGCAUCAUACUUCAUGUUUUACGGAUAACCAUUAAUCUGUCACAUAGAAAUAAUCUAACUACUAAUUUAGCUAUCAAAAUAUCUUCUCGAGAUGAUGUAACAAUUAAACAAUAGAAAUAUUGAGAUAAUUUAAUAGCUAAUUUGACUAUCAUUAUCCUGUAAUUUUGCAAAUAUUUCUAUUAUUACUUACAUUAAUAAAAUGAUGAAAUUAAAGCCCAGGUGAUCAAAUUGAAAUAAAAAUAAAGUUCAAUGACUAGAUUGAAAAUAAAUAAAUAAAUAAAUAAUAAAGUUUAGUGGUCUAAAUAAAAUUUUAUUUUAUAAUGUGUAAGUUAACAAAAUGUACUCAGACCCCCUCAACUAAUGCUGUUUUGAAAUAAUCUCCUCAACUUUACGGUUUUUUUCUUUUUUUUAAACCUCUACUUUUUUAACUUCUAUUUUUUUUUUUCAGUUUGUAUUAAUAUAAUUAGUACAAGCUAAAAAUUUAUAAUAUUUAAUGGUUCUACAGCUAUAAAUAGUCCAUUAUUUUUAUUUUAUUUGUUGAAAGAUAAUUAAGUUUAUAAAAUUUAAUAUAAUUAUUAAUAAAUUCAUUAAAAUAUCUAAUUAAGUUUUUUUAGAUUAGUCGAUUCAAUAAUAUCAACAAUUAAGAAUAUUUUAAUAAAAUAGUAAGGAUAAACUUUAAAUUGCCUCCCUGUUGUAUAACUUAUUUUUACUUUGUCAUUCUGUUGUUCAAAAAGUUUCUGCUUGUGGUGUUUAUCUCAUUUUCGCUUUGCUACCCCGUUGUUUAAAAAGUAUAACUUUGCCCUGCUAUGGUUUAGCGCAUUUUUUAUUUUGCCAUCCAAUAAUUUUUUUUAAAAAAAAAAAUUUACUUUUCCGUCAUUUUUCACAUAAAGUUUUUUUUGGUGAAAUAAAAAAAUUAAAUCACAGGGGUCAAAGUGAAAUUUUUUGAACCACGGUAUAGCAAAGUGAAAAUAAGCAAAACCACAGGGGAAAAUAUGAAGUUUACUCAUUAAAAAAAUAAUGUUGGACCUUGACUAAUUUUUAGAAAAAUUCUAUAUCAAGCUGCUAAUAAAUGGGCUGGGCUUACCAAAGCCCAACCCUUUAUGGAUGUAAUUGCCUAAUUUAGCCCAAACCCAUUCACACUCUUAACGGGUCAAAAAAUGGAUCCGAUUAGGAUUCGGAUCAAAUAGUAUUUAAUAAUCUGCAAAUUUGCAGCAUACAACCUAUUAGUAUAGUUUUGAUUAACCAAAGAAAGAAAAAAAAAAAUUUGAGAAAAAGGCAGCAUGCGAAUCGCUUUAUUUAUUAUUUAUUUAGGAAUUGAACUAAACUACUGAUUGAGGCAACUAGGCCUCAUAGAGAGAGAGAUGAAAAAAAGAAAAAGAAAAAGGAAAUCUACUUAACACAGUAAAGAUUCCAUAGGUUUUUUAUAGGGUGAAUCUCCACCAUCAUUUGACUUGUGGUGUUCUUUUUUAUUUUCUUGAAAAUUCUUCUAUUCCGGUCCAACUAAAUAACCCAACGCAAAGAGGCAAUUGUUGCUAACUUCCUACCCCCUAAGGCGCCACCUUUGAGUCUGUUCACUUUGUUGCUAACUUCCUACCCCCUAGGGCGCCACCUUUGAGUCCGUUCACUUUCCAAAACCUAUUCACUUAUAUGCAAUUAUGAGAGACGUCUUACUAGGUAAUUGGCCCUUCAACAAUAGUCUAGUAGUUUCACAACCCACGGAAAGGUGGUGGACCGUCUCUGGCUCAUCCAUACAGAAAACACAAACCUCCUCACCACGCCAACCCUUUUUUAGAAAAUUAUCCACUAUUAGUACCUUUCGUGUUAAACUAUCUACACAACAAUUUUAACUUGAUCAGUGAGUUCUUAUCUUCCAGAACAAAACUUAUGUCAAUGAUUCCACCAUCUUAUAGAAAGUUAUAGAGCAAGUUAAUUGAAAACUUUUUGGAUCGGGCCUAUCUCCAUCUAACUUCCUCCCUUCUAUUAAACAACGUAAUGUCAUAAAGCGACUCUUUUAGCUUCAAGAUCUGAUCUCUAUUGUGCUGUGAGCAUGGGAUGAAACCUGACAAAAUCUUACGUCACUUCCACUCAUUUCCUUCGAAAUAAUCCCUCACAUUGCAAGUUUUACUCUCUACCUCACUAAGAAUGCUACGGUAGGGAGGACCGGCCACUCCAGAUGUUCGACCAAAGGCUCACUAUUUGUCCGUCUCCAAUCGAAUAAGUAACUCCAGACUUAAAAUGAGUCAUAGUCGCUAAAACACACUCUGCAACAACUGUGAGUAAAGUCUAAAGGAGGCACCUUCUCUAAGCAUCUUUCAGGAGUUGUAAAGACUUUCAAUAAGAGAGCCCCACUGACGGAUCUUAUUUGAGAGAAACCUCUACUACCAUUUCGCAAGUAGAGCUAGCUUUAAGUUUUUUAAAUCCAAAAAUACUAAUCCUCCCUUCUUUUUACUUCUAUAAACCGACUUUCAAUGCACCAGACAUUGUCCCCAACAACAUAAGUCCCUCCUUUCCAGAAAAAGGCCCUCCGGAGAGCAUCUAUGCAACGUAUAACCCAUUUGGGCGCUCAAAAAAUUGAGAAAAGGUAUGGAGGCAGAUUCGAUAAAAUAGAGUUCACUAGGGCUAGCCUGCUUCUCUGCGAAAGUAGCUUAGCUUUCUAUCCUUCGAUCCGUCUCUCAAUUCUACCUAUAAUGGGCCACCAGUCUUCCUUUCGAAAUUGUUUGCUUGUAUGAGGUAAUCCAAUGUAGAGAAUUGGGUAAGACCCCGGUUUGCACUCUAUGAUCUCAACAAGUGUCUCACCCUAAUGGUCACCUCUACCCAGAUAGAAUAACUCAGACUUAUUCCUAUUUAUCUUGAAACUAGACGCCCAUUCAUGAAGAGAAGGUUUCUCAUUUGUCUUUUCUUAGCCUCAUAAAAAAAGAUUGUGCCAUCUGCAUAUUGAAUAAUAGCAAUCUUUAUUUCUCAAAAAAAAAAUAAAUAAUAGCAACCUUGCAAUCCUCAAUAGGUCCAACCCUUCUUAGUAGAUUAUUACUUUUUUUUUAGAGAAAUGUAGCAUGCUACUCGCUUCAUUUAUUUUUUUUAGAAAUAACUUAGCUGAAAACGUGAAUCAACUAGGAUUCGAACUUAGGAGCUGAGAUACCAACCAUCAAGCCUUUUACUACUUGCGCUAGGGACAGUCGGUCUUAAUAGAUUAUUGCUGAUAGCUCUUCUCAUCAUUCUUGCCAGACCUUUCGCCACCAGAAAAUAGAGAUGUGGGGAAAAAGGAUCACCUCGGAGUAGACUCUUUUUAGCUUUGAUCCAUUUAGAGAGAAUCCCCUUAACCAAAAUUGCAACUUUAGUGUUAGAUAUGCACUGCUCAAUCCAACCACACCACUUGUUGUUCGCCCCAAGCACAUCAAGAUCUUUCUUAGUAAACCCUUAGCUCACUCUGUUACAAGCCUUCUCAAAAUUAGCUUUAGUUCUAACACUUUCCACUCCUAUCCUUGACCACCAACUAACAAUCUUGCUAACAGUAGAAAAGGAGUUCAGAGUUAUCCACCCUUUUAGGAAAGAAGCCUGAGAAAAGGAGAUGAUCUAUAAUUUCAAGUCUGUUUGUGAGUACCUUGGGUAUGAUCUUUUGAACACUGUUGAUAAGAUUGAUAGGCGCUGAAUCAAUAUCUAAUUUAGCUCCCUUUUUCUUGGGAACUAGGCAAAUUUAAGAGUAAUCCAUACGUCCAAAAUUCAUUCAAUCAUCAUACAAGUCCCGAAGAUAUUAAAUAGGUCUACUUUAACCACCUCUCAGAAGCUCUAAUAAAACCUCAAGUUGAAUCCAUCCGAUCCUAAGGCUUUUUUCUCGUCUAAUUGAAAAGUUGCCUUUCUGAUUUCUUCCAUAAAAAAGGAAGAGGUGAGUUGCUCAAGACAAAAAAUUGAUCUACCCCUAAAAAUAUUACUUCAAUCGCCUCAAACAAUGCAACUUAGUUUCAAAUAGUUGCAAUCUAAGUCUCAAAUAAUACAAUUUAGUCUAAAACAGUGCCUAUUUUAUAUGGUACAAUUUUAUUUCAAAUAGUUAAAAAUGAUGUAACUUUUUCUCAAACAAUGCAGCUUAGCCUCAAAUAGUGUAAUUUUGUUUCAAACAAUGCAACUUCUUUUUCUUUUUUCUUUUUCUCUGCUUCUUGGCAUUUCUUAUAGCGACCACGAAACAUAUUGACUUUUUCAGGAGAAUAAAAAAUAUAAUUUUCUUAUUAUUUUUAUUUUAUUCUUUCUUUCUUUCUUCUUCUUCUUCUUCUUCUUCUUCUUCAUCCUCUACAUUCUUUUCCGUUAUCGCACCUCCUUUGUUGCUCUUUGCCACGGUUACUGACCCUGUCCUGAUACGCUCUCCCUUCCUGUCAUUCUCAAAGCCUGCGGCACCCUCAUCGCCGUUGACGUCCAUGACCAUGCCCUUUGUCGCAGUCUUACCUUCACAAUCUAUGGCAUGUCUGAGCCGACAUCAAUAGAAGCAUAGGUGAGGUAAGAGAGAGGAGUGCAACAUCGACGUCGGGGCAGUGGAGAUGGAGGAGAAGAAGAAAUAAGAGGAAGCAAGAGGAGGAAAAGAGAAAGAAAUAGCAAGGAGGAAGGAUAUGAACCUGACAAAGAGACGAAUGAGGAAAAAAGAGAGGGAGAAAAAAUAUAAGAGUAUUUUAGUUAGUUUACUAAAAAAUUCGGACCGAAUUUGCAAAAUCCAAAAAAAAUAGCCCGUUAUUGCAAAAACUAAAAAUUGGUGGAUUUUUUUAUGCAAAAAGUUUAAGACAUAUAGCAAUCAAAUAUCAUUUAACUAAUGUAUUGUAUAAAAAACUAAAUUAUUUAAAAUAUUUAAUUAAUUUUAAACAUAUUAAAAAUAUUUAAUUAGCUUUCUAUAUUUAUAAAUAAAUUAAUAAUUAUAUAGUGUAUAUUAUUUCGCAGGACGAGUAGUAUCCCCACCCCCUACCCCAACUAGGGGUGUAAACGGGCCGGGCGGCCAGUGGGCCGCGCGGUCGAGCAUGACUGCGGGAUGGGUCGUGGCCCGGCACGGGUACUAUAGCACCCAUGCCGGGCUGGCCCGUCCUAGCUCCAUGGGUCAUGUUGGGCUGAGCUACUACGGCCCGAAGGCCCGGGACAGCACGGCCCGUCCCGUGUUGGAUUUGGGCCGUGCUGGGCCGACCUAUUUUUUUUAAAAGUAGUAGGUUGUAGCCUACAUGUAGGCUUGGCUGGCUUUUCUAGGGCCUAUAUUGCCUCGGACAGAAUAAUCGUUGGGUCCUCUUUUUUCUUUUUUUUUUCAAAAUUUUUUUUUUAUUAUUAAUUUUUUAAAAAAGGUUAAAAAAUAAAAAAAAAAAGAUUUUUUGAUCAAAAUGACCAUAAUGCCCUCAUUAACAUUCAAAAAUUUGAUUGUUAGAGAGGGCAUUUUGGUCAAAAAAUAAAAAAUAUUUUUAUAUAUUUUUUUAAAAAAAUUACAUUUUUUUUAAUCUAUAACUGCUACUAAAAACAUCUAAAUUUAUCAUAACAAACAACUCUUCAUUCAUCUUCUUCUACAAAGAUUAAUUCUUCCUACUCUUACACUUUCAAUUUUAAUUUUUUUUCUCAACUUUCAAGUUUACUUUACAAAUAUUUUUAAUUUUUUUCAACAUUUUUUUUUACAAAAUCUCUCCUCAAUUUCACCACACAAAAUUUCAAUUUCAACACAAUAAUUAAUCUCUUUUUUUUUAUUUUUUUUAUUUUUAAAUAUUUUUAUUUAAUUAUUUUUAGUAUUAUUGUAUUUAUUUUUUAUAACAAUGUCGGAUGAAUUUUCUCAUAUAGAUUUUUCUUAUACUGAUUAUACUCAUGAAUAUUAUGUUAGUAAUCAAUCAGAAAUUGUGUCACGCCCCGGAUUACUCGUUUCCCCGGGCACGCCGACAAAUCCGCCGUAUACAAAAAAAAUUUUCCUGUAUACGAAGCGACAGCUGUACCUGUAAUCAAACAAUACUACAACCAAUAGUAUAGAGCUGUUAGAAGAAAUGAUAUAUAUAAAACAGAAGUUCACUAUACAUACAACAUCCUGGUGUACAAAACACUCGCUCCAGCGAGAUACAACAAAAGUAUGUAUAUGAACUCAAAAACUACCACUGCCUGUAGCUGAUAUACUCUAGCUCAGCAGCAACUGGGAAGGGAUCUAACUCGCAACUCCCUUUCCACGGUUCGUAUUAGCAGCAGCAGCAGCCGAAGAAGAAACCUCUGCAAAAGAUUCCAACAACUGGGCGUGAGAACUACUACAAAAGUAGUCCUCAGUAGGUACCGCUACCGACUUCAACGGCUCACCUACUAAGUCUACAGAUGUAAACAAGUAUAGUAAGAAAACUGAAAUAAAUCUACAGCUAUAUGCACCUAUACUAUCUUGGUCGAACACCAACAAUCUGUAGGAAAUAGUAAAGCCUGACCCAAUCUCACUAAGGACUGUGAACACACUCGUCCCGCCUGUCGAAGCUACACAAUCUGACACCAAACCAAGUCGCCAAUGAAAAGCAAGUCCAAGCAGGACUAAACGACACCAACGCAAAAGCAUAAAGCCCGACUCCGGAGUGGCACUCGUGAGCGCUAUCCAACCGAGUAUGCAAGCGUAUCUCUGUCGAGCUCAAUCAAGCUCUCACAGGCUAUAGUCAAGUAAACAGGGUCUAACAACUGAACUCACGUGCCCUCGGCACAAUCUGAUGCAAAAAUAGCAAUCUGGGUCUACCGUCAACCUCAACGACACCCGACAAUCCGGAACAGCCUAAACACUGCUGUAAAAAUACACUCGGCACCUCAGCACGAGCGUAAAUAUAUUCUACACUAUUCUGGGUAUUCAUCGCCCACAAACUGCGGCGAUACUAACAAACUACUGCUCACAGAGCUAAAUCUGGUAGUUUGUUCAAAUGGCGGCGUAGAAGUGUCAGUUUUCUCCUAAGUCAAAUCCAAGCCCAACAUGCAUAUUUUAGCUAAUUUUUUAUGCUCCAAUUCAAGUUCAUAGGCAUGAAAUUUCAAGAAUCGAGCUAAACAAUAUACCAAACAAAGCUAAAAAUACAUAUUGUCAACACAUAUAGCAUUAGGAGGAAACCCGUAGAAUUCGGUAAGCAUCACUUUAACCCACCACGAAAGCACGUCCAACAACGGCGAGAAGUCGAAAGAAGCGAAACCGCAUGCUCGCCCGGCCUCCCCACGACGCUAGCAUGACGAACGCACACUCGAACGGCACCGCGGCACGACAUCGGCGACAAUCUGACUCCACCCGAGCUCCUCCUUACGUACGGCUGAGCACAAGAGGAAGAGAGAGAGAGCACAGCAAAACCCCUCCUCAGCCUCUCUCUCCAUCCUAUAUAGUGUAGAGGGGAAAAGGUGACACAAACGAGGCAAGAAAAGACCAAAAAGCCCCUUACCUACCCUAGUGUACCGGUACCACUCCAAUGUUGUACCGGUACCCCGCAGCAGAAUGGCCAACCCGAGAGCAGUCUGUGCAGAAAAAAUGCACUGGGCACCGGUACGCCCUUGUGUGGUACCGGUACCAAUUGCUGAAAAUAUGAAAUUUGCAGAUUGCAAUGCUAACUCUCUGCUCUCGCGUCCCGCUGAGUCUACUUUGCGUCUAUUUCGCGUCAACAGGACUCGGACUUUUUCCGACACUCUCUCUAGAGCCGUCGACAAGCCUCAGCUGCUGAAUUCCAGGGUUACUACAAACUGCAACUGGUGGUUCUACACAAGAUGACGACGGCUCGCAACCUAAACCAAAUUUAGACGCAAGUUCUAAAAAAGCGUCUAAACAAAGAAUAAGCGAAGUAUGAAAGUACUUCAAUAUCAAAGAAAUUGAAGGACAAGACAUGCGAGCUGUUUGUACUAUAUAUGGAGUUCAUUAUUCUUGUGAUAGUUCCGAUGAAACAGGUCAUCUUAACAGGCAUAUUUAGAAACAUCAGGUAAAAGAAAGUAAAGAAACAAAACUAUCACAACUUGCUUUUACUUCUAGCGGAGUUAGUACAUUUCAAUCGAAGAGAACUUGCUUGUAUAUUGUAGGAGCUGAACAGCCAUAUAAAUUUGCCGAAUGUCCAUAUUUUUAACACUAUGUGAAAAUAGCUUUGAAUCCCGCAUACAAAAAAAUUUCUCGAAAUACUAGUCGCAAAGACUCAAUAAAAGCAUUUCUUGAAUAUAGACAAAAUUUGAUUUCAAUUUUAGAAAAUAUGAAUUCAAAAAUUUCACUCACUUUCGAUAUUUGGACUUCAAGAAAAGAACGUAGUUUUAUAUGUAUUACUGGACAUUGGAUUGAUUCUAAUUGGAUAUUACAAAAAUGAAUUAUUGGUUUUCAAGAACUUGAGUUUCCAUAUACUGGUAUUCAUAUUGCUCAGGCUAUUGAAAAUGUUUUGCAAAUUUAUAACAUUAGCCAAAAAAAAUUUUCAAUUAGUUUUGAUAAUGCUAGCAAUAAUAGAACCGCAGUUCAAAUUUUGAAAAAUAAUUUGCAUCCUAUCUUAAAUGAAAAAUUAUUUCAUAAUAAAUGUGCAUGUCAUAUUAUAAAUUUGUGUGUAUACGAGGGAUUAAGAAUAAUUAGUCCACAAAUAAAAAAAAUAAAAGAUUGUGUUAUGUUUAUUCAUAGCUCCGGUCCAAGAAAAUAUGAUUUUAAAAGUUUAUGUAGAUAAUUGGGCCAAAAGUAUAAAAAAAUUUAUUUUCAAUGUUCAACACCGAUGGAAUUCCAUAUAUAAAAUGUUGCAUUAUUAUUAUGAGUAUAGAAAUAUUUUAUCUAUUUUCUGUAAUGAGAAAAUACAGUAUAAUUUCAUAACUAAUGAAGAAUGGGAUAUUGAACAAAUUUUUAUAAUUUUUUGCAACCAGUUUAUGAGUCAACCAAACUUUUGUCAAGAGUAUAUUAUCCUACUUCAUGUUAUUUUCUUAAUCAAAUUUUACUUAUGAGUAGUCAUUUUGUUGAAUAUAGAAAUUCUUUUCUUUUAGGUCAAAUUGUUUUUAUGAUGGAAUCUAAAUUUAAAGAAUAUUGAGAAGAAAUUCCUAUUGUACCUCUUUUGGCCUCUAUAAUGGAUCCUAAAAUUAAAUUAAAUGGAGCAUAAAUUGCUCUUACUCAAUAUAAUGAAUUUUUAGAAAUUAAUUCAACAAAUUAUUCAAAUAGAAAAAAUAUUUUUCAAAUAGUAAAUAGUAUUUUAUGUGUGUAUGGUGUUUAUGUAACUACUUCGGGUAGUAAACGACCAUAUUCUUCACAGUUAUAAAGCAGCAGCAGUAGUAGUGGUAAAACUAGUAAAAAUAUAAUUUUAUCUUUAGUAAGAAAACAAAAACAAACGGAUUUUAAUGCACCUUCUUUUAAUGAAUUUUAGUUUUACUUACAAACCGAUUUUUCAAAUCUUUUUAAUGAAGAUGAAUCAGAAAAGAUAUUUUAGCCUGGUGGAAAACACAUGAAAGUACAUAUUCCAUACUUUCUGCCAUGGCACGUAAUCUACUAACUGUGCACGUUUCAACAAUGGCAUCCGAGUUUGCUUUUAGUGCAGGUGGAAGAAUAUUGGAUGAUUAUAGAAUCCGGCUUAAGGAGGAUGCAGUAGAGGUUUUAGUCUGCUUAAAAGAUUCGUAAGCUACAAAAUUAAGAAUACAGAGUUCAUGAGUUUACAUUUUUAGAUGAAACAGAAUUAACUACCUAAAAAUAUACCAACACUUGUGGCAUGCUAGAGUGCAAUCGCCCCAAUCUCCUCACUGUUGCUUAUUAGUCUUUGCACCUCUUCUUUUUUAUUUGGUACAUCUCUUUAGUAGGUACCUCUUUUUUAGGUAAAAAAAAUGAUGUAAUGAAGAACAAAAUUAUAUUGAAUUUUUUUCUCUAUUGUUUGCUAAUUGGUUGUAUAAACAAUGCCAUUUUAUUUUAAAUAUAUUUUUGAUUUUUUGGAUUUUUAUAUUUUUCUCCAAUGUAAUUAUAUAAUAUGACUAAUUCAAAUACCAAUUUUAUUAUUUGUGUUUUAAUUUUUUAAUUUUAUAAAAUUUUUAAAUGANAUUUUAAAUAUAUUUUUGAUUUUAUAAAUAUUUGUACUUUCCUCCAAUGUAAUUAUAUAAUAUGAUUAAUUCAAAUUUUACAUAUUUUUUGUGCUUUUUUUUUUUUCAAAUAUCAAUUUCUCUUCAAAUAAUAAAAAAUUAUGAAAAAAAAUUAAUAUUAAUUUUAUAUUAAAAAGAUAAAUUUAUUGUUUGUGUUAUAAUUUUUUUAAAAUUUAUAAAAUUUUUGAAAGAGUUUUAAAAAUGAUGGGUAUAAUUGUGUAAAUUAAAAACUAUAAGUUAAAAAGUUAUAAUUUAAACUCUUUUUCUUAAAAAAAUAAUUUAAAAUAAAAUAUAAAAAAAGCUGGAAAAAAUGCCUAUUGGCUAUUACCGGGCUGGCCCGAAGCCCAGCCUAGGCCCGGCCCGGCCUAUCUUGGGCAGGCCAGGUGUCGGGUCGGGCCGGGCUGAACCUUACACCCCCAACCCCAACCUAGGGAUGUCAACGGGUCGUUAGGUCGGAUUUUCAAAACCCGAACCGGACUCCAAACCCGAAACCCGAACCCGAUGGAUUUUAAAAAUUCAUAUCCAAAGCUGAACUCGACCAAAACUCCGAAACUCGAACCCAAAAAUUCGAAUCCGAAAUAAUUAUUUCUGUUUUCAAUAUUUCAAAAUGUAUUACAUUAAAUUUAAAUUUUAAAAAUACAAAUUCAAAUAUAACAUCAAAAUUUCAUAUAUAUAUUAUAUAUAGUAUAAAAUAAAUUCGGGUUCGGGUCGGGUUCGGUCAAAAUCCAUAUCCAUAUCGGAAUCCAUAUCCGUCGUUCUUUUGUUUUUGAUAUCUAUAUCCGAAACUAUAUCCAUUUAGCAUCGAGUAAAUUGGUUCUGUUCGGAUUCGAAUUCAGAUAAAAUUUUGGAUAUCUGUACCCAUUGACAUCCCUACCCCCACCCUGUCUUCGCAAGUGGAAAAUUCUUCUUCUUUUUUCCCGAUUUAUAUUUUUGUUAGAGACAAAAUUCUCCCCAUCCGUGCCCUAUAAGAGACAGAUCGGUGUGAAAAUAUAGUUAUGUGGAAAAAAGGGAAAAAGCUAUGUGUACACCCAAGAAUGAGUGUACAUUCUAGACUCCACCCAUCCAAGGGUGGGAAAUCACUCGCUAGUCAUAUGAUGUGAUUUGUAUAGUGAAUGCCAUCUUUUGAUAGGAUGUGUGUAAAGCUUACACCCACUUUUGGAUGUAUAUCUAGUAUUGCUCGGAAAAAAUUGUCUUAAUCCGUCUUAAACGAAUUUUUUUUUUUAUAAAUAGUCUUCCUGAAAAUUGUAUUUAUAAAAAUAGGCCUCCUUCAAAAUUUAUUGUAAAAAUAGUCUUCAAAUAGGCCAGGUCAGCUCGUGGGGUAUAUAACGCAUAUAUGCGGUGAAUGGUUCACCGCAUUCAGAUAUGCGGUGAACCAUUCACUGCAUUUGUGGGUCUAGGCACAUCGCGCGGGAAAACCGAGAAUGCGGUAAAUGGUUUACACCCAACCGAUGGGGGGAACAACAUGAAGGCGGUGAAUGUUUACCGCCUUUAUAGGAUUUUUAAAUCCUUAUGAAAGCGGUGAACAAUUUACCGCUUUCACUUGAAAGCGAUAAAUGGUUCACCGCUUUUAUCUUCUCCCGCCAGCUCACUGCCCACGUGACAGUUUUGAACCUAUUUUCGUAAAUAAAAGUUUGAGAGCCUGUAUUGGAGGAGACUUGUUGGAUAAAAAUCCCGUCUUAAACCCCUACAAGGCCGGCCCAUUACCAAUACCAAGCCCACGAACAAUUGACAUAGAAAUCAUCGAGCUAAAAAUAUAAUAUAAUAUAUAAAAUAUAUGUAUAUUAUUAUUAUUAUUAUUAUUAUUAUUAUUAUAUGUCUUAAGUACGAGAUACGCUUUUGAUCAACUCCCCUCCUCUCUCUCUCUCCCCCCUACGUUUAUUCCACAGCAAUGCUCCGUCGCAAACCAAAACAAAAUCAAAACGAAGCCCACGCCCAAAUCUGAAAUCUCCAAGCGCAAAGCUUCUUCCCCCAUUUCGUCCCCCAAAAUCUCCUCCACCGCAGCCUCCGUCGCCGCCCCCUCGCCGGAACCCUAGCUCCCUCCGAUCCGUAAGUAGUAGCCUCUCGUCCUCUCGUCCUCUCGUCCUCUCUCUCUCUCUCCCUCUCGAUCUCCUCUCGUUCAUGUCGCUCCUCUCCUCCCCCCCUCGCUCUCGGAUAGCGAGCUAGGGCUUCGCUCGAACCCUCCUGGAUUCGCCCUUCCAUUAGGGCUUGUCGGCGAGGAUCGGGUUAGGGUUUGCGCGCCGGUGGAAUGAGAGGUCAUGGAGCAAGAAGAGGAGCGGUUUUGAUCGGUUCGUAGCUGGCGCAAAGGACUCCUCUUUGUAUCGGGAUUUGGGUGGUUUGUGGUGAAUAGUAUGGGGGAUUCGGCUGAUCUGGUGCUGGAGUUCUUGAGGAAGAACCGGUUCACGAAGGCCGAAGCCGCGCUUCGAGUCGAGCUGGACAGCCGCAGCGAUUUGAAUGGGGUUCUCGAGAAGCAGAAUCCGGAAGCUGGGGAAGAGAUUGGGGUAGCUAGUAGGGUUACUCAUCAUGGUACAAGCACGAUGAGUGGUGGUGAGCUCUCGAAUGAGUUCAUUGUGAAGGAGAUUUCAGAAACUAAGAAGGGUUUCGGUACGAAUCGAGUUCAGCAAGAGAGUAGUUCCGGAGAUCUUUACCCUCUAAAUUUGCCUUCAAAUUUGGGCAAGGACAAUGGGAGCAUCGAGGAGAAGUUUACGGAGCUAUUGUUGUCUGAGGAACCAAAACAUCGCCGUAAUGGGAGGGGUAAAGUUAAAGGUGAGCUUGUGUUAGACAUUAAUCAGAACUCUGGUUUUACGGCUAACAAUUCAGAGAAGGGUUGUUCAGUGAAGACGGUUUUCCCGUUUCCUGAUGUAAGUGCGAGCGCCUCAUCAAGUGACGAUCAAGUCCUUGGUCAUGGCGAUGAUAGAAAUGAUGUGAAGAAGAAAGAAGAGUUUAACGAUAUUAGGGAAGAGAGAAGCGAGCACCUAAAUAUUGCACAGAGUAAUAAUUUGCGGAGCUUUGAUUUACCGCUCAUCGGUGAGAGACAAAGGGAAGACCUUCCGAGGCUGCCGCCUGUGCGAAUUAAGUCUGAAGACAAGCUAGUUAAUAUGCAUUGGGAAGACAAGGUUGACCGGGAUGGAUCUGGAGUGAAGCUCUGUAGUGCGGACAAUACCUUUAUGAUUGGGCCUUUUCUUGAUGCUCCGGCUGGGCAAGAUAUGAGCGCUUCAGGUAUGUUGGUAAUUUAGCCCUCUGUAACUCUGUUAUCCUUCGAGAGUUAAACGUAUGCACAUACCCUUUACUAGCUCACAUUGUGACAUAGUCUCUAAACUUUUCACUUAGACAUUCAAGUUUCAUCCAUAACAGUAGAGAAGAUUGAAGAAUUUGGAGAAGAUCGAAGAAUUUUACCUUCUAGCUAGUCUCUAAACUUUUCAAGUUUCAUCAAGUGACGAUCAAGUCCUUUGGGUGCGCUUAUUUUCCAGUGAAAUCUUGUUAAAUGGACAAGAAACUGAAUGAUAGGGAUAAUGGAUAGAUUCUCUUUUAUCCUAGAAAUGGAAUUACUACUCAUUGAUAACUACCUUUCUUUGAUUUGAUGCCUUAUUAGAAAUGCAUUCCAAGGAGCUUCUUGAUCAUGUGAUUAAUUUUAAUUCUUGCCUUUUAAGGUUUUCUUCAGUAAUCUUUACUAAGAGUAGCAUUUACCACACUCAUCAUUGUAAAGAUACUGACAUUCUAUUCUUGUAUGAAGUUUUGAAUUUUGGGAGGUUGCAUAAGAUUGUGGUUUUAAAGCUGGAAGAUUCAAUUGUAGGUUGUAACUUCUGAUUUAUUGUAGAGGCAAGUUAAUUCGAGAUCAAAUUCAAGAAGAGUCUUUUAACUCUUGGUACAUGCCUUGCUUUGAUAAAAAGAGUGUGUUAACCCUCGGGACAUGCCAUGCUUUGAUAAACACCUGAUUAUUUAUUUGAAAUUUUAUCUCCAGAAAUUACUUCAAAUGAUGAAUUUCCAGAGACCAAGCAGCCAGGUUGUAUCACUUUUUAUAUUUCAGAUUAUGAUAGAUUUGAACAUCAUAUUUGUAGCAUCUGAUAAGAAAUGAAUUAAGUAAACAUCAUUUCUUCUAGGAAUAAUAGAAUGUAAACAAAACUGCUUAAAAUAUCUCUAAAAUAGAUUUGGCUGUUAGUUGAUUGUUGCAAGUUACAGCAACCUAUUUCCUUGAGCAAAAUGUUUUAAAAGUAUACCUUUAAUAUUUCUCCCUGUUAGGCUGUCUAAUUUGUCAAACUCCAUUAUGUGUCUAAGGUAAACAACUUGCUUCUCGUCUUUCACUUUUUUGCUGCUACUGCAAAAAAUGGAAAAGGUUGAGGCAGUCAUGAGGCCAGAUUUUGCUAAUACAUUGAGAUGUAUAUGCUUCCAAAUUUUUCCUGAAAUGGGGUGGUGCUGGUUGGGUCCAUAUUGAAAUGAGCACUGUUUAUUUAAUUGCUAUGUCUUGUAGAAGGAGAUAACAUAAGAUGACUGUUGGGCAUAACUUUGGUUGAUAUAAGGUUGACUAGAUAAGAGAUAAGAGGGCUGAAGGAUGAUAAAGUUGAAAUCAAAGAUUGCUUUGUUUGAAAAACAAAAUGAUAUUUUCCUCUGUGGAGACAGAAAUUUCUUGGUCGAUUUUCACUUUGGUUUAAAUUUUCUUUGGUCAUUAAAUAGAUGAUGUAACAUAGAUACGAAACUGGCUUGAGUGGUCAUUUAAUGCAAGGCAUGUUGCUCAGUUAGUCCCAUAUAGUAAAAGCAAUCUGAACUUGCAAAACUGAAUUGCAGUCUGAAGUUGCAAAAGUGAAAAUCUAUCUUGCCAUGCAAAACCCCUGUGGGGAGAUGGGAUGUAUGUUACUUUGUGUUGUUGUUUGACUUCAAGCUCUAGCAGACAAUUUAGCUUUUACUUGUUUAUUCUUUCCUUUUUUCUUUCUUUCUUUCUUUCUUUCUUCUUUUUUUUUAAAAUUUUUUUUGAGAAACCAAUUUGGGGUUUAUGUUCUUCCUGCUUUUUUUUUCUCUUAUAAAGCCAAGUUGGCCUGCACCACUCUAGAACAUAGUCCUUGUUGUUAUUGAAAUAUCAUCAGACUAUCUAACAAGUUACAUUAUGAUAUUUAACAAAAUCAUAUGUAAUUCAAUAAUGCUAUUUGUCCACUCUGCUACUUUCCGUGGUGUUUGUUUUCUGCAUUUUUUAAUGUGUAAAAUGUUGAUAACCUGCUGGAUUUGUCAUGAUUUACAUUUUACCUGCUCUGAUAAUUAAAAUUUACAUGUAACCCCUUGUUUAGGGGAGUAAAGGGCAAGUCACAUAUUUUUAUGGUGGUGCCUGUGGUUUUAGCCUUAGUCAAAUUUCAACUUUGUGUUUAAAUCUUAAUCUUUUUGAUUUGUAUCUUUAGGUGGGAAGCGAACAAUUGGAACUAGUUGGUUGUCUGUGAGCCAAGGCAUUGCUGAGGAUACUUCAGAUUUAGUAUCUGGUUUUGCAACUGUUGGCGAUGAAUCAAUUGACUAUCCAAACGAGUACUGGGAUUCUGAUGAAUAUGAUGAUGAUGAGGAUAUCGGAUACACACGACAACCCAUUGAGGAUGAAGCAUGGUUUUUGGCUCAUGAGAUUGACUAUCCUAGCGAUAAUGAGAAGGGAACCGGUCAUAGUAGCGGUUUCGAGCAACCAGAUCGCCUCCAAACAAAAGAUGAAGAUGACGAUCAAUCUUUUGCAGAGGACUCUUACUUGUCAGGUGAACAAUAUUGUCGGGAAAAGAAUAUUGAACUAAUGGCGUCUUCUGAGGUGCCAAUAAUAGAUGAAAAUUGUUUGAUAGCUCAAUAUGAUGGGCAACUUAUGGACAUCGAAGAGCUAACAUUAAUGCGGGGAGAACCAGUUUGGGAGGGUUUUGUUACACAAAGCGAUGAACUAGUUUUGUUAGGAAAUGGGAAUGUUUUAGAUGAUUCUGAGCAGGCUCGGGUCAAUGGUCCUUUGUUAGGAGGUGAUCAACAUGAUUCAGUUCGGUCAAUUGGCGUGGGCAUGAAUAGUGAUGCUGCUGAUAUCAGCAGUGAGGCAUGUGAAAGCUUGGUAGGAGGAGACAUAGAAUACGUUCAUGAUAGCAAUGUUGGUAAAACUAGUAAGACCAAUCUGAAUAGUUCGAAGAAAGAAAAUGUAAAGGUGACAAAACAGGACCAAGAUAACUACAUUUUGGCUUCUGAAAAGGGUAUUUUUCCAACAGGAACAAGUAGUCUUGAUGGUGGGUUUUCUUUCCUACCUCCAUUAAGUACUGGAGACAUAGCGAAUGCGGACUCUGGUAAAUCAUUAUGGUCUGAGGAAGGUAAUGUUUUUGUCAGCGAUGAUGCUGAUGAACAUGCAAAUGGAAUGGGUACAGAUGAUAUGCUUGCUGCAUGGAGAAGAAAAAGUAGCGAUUCUUCCCCUGUAAGGAGUUCAAGAGAUGCAAAAACUUCUGAUGUUAAUAGAUCAAGAGACUCAACUGCAUCGUCUGCAUCGGAUUACGCCUUUGCUGAAACAAAGGAUAUUGAGAAGCUGAGAGAUCACAAAAUUGAUGGUGCACAGGAUGAUGCUGUGGCAAAUUUGGAGGAUGAAGAAGUGGCUGCAUUGCAGGAACAAGUAAGGCAGAUAAAGGCUCAGGUGGAAGAGUUUGAAACCUUCAACCUUAAGAUUGUGCAUAGGAAAAACAGGUAUAUUCGGUUCUUAUUCCACUUUUUAUUUCAUGAACGUGAUUAAUAAGGAAUCCACCUAUCCAUUUUCUUUGUUAAAAUAAUUGGAGACCCUCCCAAUUACAUACUUUGGCUGGGGAUUCAAUUCAAUUUGAGGAAUUGCGGAAUUGCUGCUAAAAUUAACAGAAUCUGCGAGUCAACUGACUAAAAUAGCUUAAACAGAAUCAUCAAAAUGUUGAAGGGGUGUCAGUUAAAAAAAAAGAGAGGAGAAAACAGACUUAAAGUGUCUAUCUCCAAAUGGCCUAUAUUUCAGGAGUGUUUGCACAUUUUCUACUUUUUCUUUUUGCAUGUGGCACUAUCCUGGAUUGUGUAAUUCAUGAUAUAUAACUUCUUUUUUCCUCUUUCAUAUUACAUCAAAUAGUUAAACGGAGUUUUCUUCUCGUUAUACAUUUGAUUUUUUAUUGUUUUCCCUCUGUCGUUUUUGCUGAUAUUUUACCAGAACUGGCUUUGAAGAAGACAAGAAUUUCCAUGUUGUUUUGAACUCUGUUAUUGCUGGGCGAUAUCAUGUUACCGAGUAUCUCGGGUCAGCUGCCUUCAGCAAAGCUAUUCAGGCACAUGACUUGCACACCGGAAUGGAUGUAUGUGUGAAAAUCAUAAAGAACAAUAAAGAUUUUUUUGAUCAAAGCCUUGAUGAAAUCAAGCUUUUGAAAUAUGUCAACAAGCAUGAUCCGGCGGACAAGUAUCACAUUCUGCGCUUGUAUGAUUACUUCUACUAUCGGGUAAAAACUAUCAAACUCUUUCAUUUCUAUUUUGAGUCUUAUAUUUCAUUGAAUUUUUUUUUCUGAAAGUUCAUUAGUAGUGAUUUUGGAUUACAGCAUGGUUAAGUGAAACGUGCUAAAAUAAUGGUAGAUGUAAAGGAGAAUAGAACACCUUUUGUACUACACUAGAGUUGCUCUAGAGCUUGUUUAAUUUAGACAGUCCUCUUAAGCUCUUAGCCAGUGUUAUAAUGGCAUCACCUUGAGAACCUUGAUUAUAUCAUGGCAUUUCAUAUAAUGGAGUGCACAGUCAUCUCAUUAUCCUUGGGUCAUAUCGUUUUUAUUUUUCUUUGAUGUUGUCAUGGAACUCGAAGAUUUCAUGAUUUGCCUGUUGGACCUGAACUAGUCCAAUUUAAAUUUCUAUGUUUAAGUCACAGUUCUAUCAUCCAGAUCAAAACUUUGAAACAACAUCCUUCCUGACAUUUUUGACAUUUUUGAUUAAACUCAGGAAUUUGGACAGGUUUAGUGCAAAACCUUUUUUUUUAAGAAAGUUACACACACAUACACACACAUAUUUAUAUAGAUAUAGCUUGUUUAAUUUAGAGAGUCCUCUUAAGCUCUUAGCCAGUGUUAUAAUGGCAUCACCUUGAGAACCUUGAUUAUAUCAUGGCAUUUUCAUAUAAUGGAGUGCAUAGUGAUCUUAUUAUCCUUAGGUCAUAUUGUUUUUAUUUUUCUUUUUUGUUGUCAUGGAACUUGAAGAUUUCAUGAUUUGCCUGUUGUACUUGAAGUAGUCCAAUUUAAAUUUCUAUGUUUAUAUCACAGUUCUAUUAUCCAGAUCAAAAUUUUCAAAACAACAUCCUUCCUGAUAUUCUUGACAUUUUUUAUUAAACUCGGGAAACUGGAUAGUUUUAGUGCAAAGCCUUUUUUUUUUUCUAAAGAAGUUACACACACACACGCGCGCGCACACACACACACACACACACAUAUAUUCUAGCUUGCUUCUCUUGUUAAUGGCGAGCUUGCCCAUUCUGUUUGCAGACCUAAAUUUGUAGUCGAUAAAUCUGCUUUCAAAUUGAAAUUUCAGAGUCUACUGGGCAAACUAAUAUGCUUUAAUGUCAGAAAGGUUUGGUUUGAAGCUGGCCAAUUUGUAAUCUUUUUCUUCAAACUGUGUCCCAGUGACCAAACUUGUACAUUAGUAACUAGGUAAUUUCUUUAACUUUAGCUUGCAGUAAUUAGUGCAGUUCUAGUUACAUGUCAAGUACCUAGUCUUGUGUGACUUUUAAGUACCGUGCAAUUUAUGUGCCUUUUCAACUGCCCAGUCAUUUCUCUAGCAUUACUUGCGCAAAUAAAGCUUCUAUCAUGUCAUAUAUGAACAUGUUUAGUGAAGAAUAGGAGUUGGUUCCUUCUGGGACUGUUAAACUAUUCAAUUCGCAACUUUUCUUUGGAUACGAAUAGGUAUGGCUGCGCUGGUUGUCAAUACUGACCGGAAUAACCAGGUUGUAGCCUCUUUCAUGGAUUCAGAAGAAGUUUACAAACUUGUGUAUAUAUAUCUCUUGUGUAGCCAGUGGUGUGACAAAUUAGCUAGUAUAAAUGCCCUGGUAUGCUUCGAGUUACUUUUGUGUCCAAAACAAGAAUGCAAUUAUGCAACACAUCCUUAGCUGGAGAUGGGUGAUAUAGUACGCAGCAUCCUAGUUUGCCCUUGCUCAUCUCUUAAUCCUGUGAUAGAACUGUACAGAGAACCACGAAUUUUGGUGUGGUAAAUGUCUUUAUGCCGUAGCUUGACUUUGGUGUGUCAGUCAUCUUCCUUAUUAUUGUCUGUUAUCUAACAUAACUGGUAAUAUUAGAUGGCAAUUGGCAAGCACUGAUAGUUGCUUGAUGCUCUUUCAACCUAUUCGUCUUGUAACUUUUUGUAAUUUAGUCUUUCCUCGGCCGUUGCUUGUUUCUUGACUUCUUAGAGUGCUGAUGGUCUUCAAUGACUGUAGUUUUAAUCCAAAACCUGAAAGUGCACUAUUUGAUUAUGGUGCUUAGCAGACAGCAACAUGCACAAAUAAGCGAGCAACGUCGUUUGGUAGGAGAAAGGUCAUUUGGCGACAAUACUGGUGGGGAGAGAGAGAGAGAGAGAUAGAGAGGGCACUGUGGUACUGCUGUGUAGAUUAGGGUUUGAUUAAUGUUAGCUAGAGCCAUUAUAUAAAAUGAAUUGAUUGUUGUGAGACAAAUGGCAAUUUGAUUGAAGAUCAUUUUAUCAGAAAUUUCUAGGUAGGGCUUUAUCAAGUAUGUUGGGCAAGUCUAAAGAGCUUUUUUGGGAAACCAAUGCUAAAAAACCUAUCAGACAGGGCGUUAUUUCUGCCUGGACUGGAUACCAGCCCUAUAUAUAUUUAAUGGUGCCUAUAGACAUUGAUAGGACUCUAGCUGAUGUUUCAGUUAAUUAUCUUUUUAAGCCAUUGCCUUGUACAUUAGAUAACAUAGGAGAAAUUCUAAAUUUAUCUUCUAAGUUUGGAAUCUUAAAGCCUACAGAUAACAUAGGAAAACUUUCUAAGUAAUUGUAAGUUUGGCAUCUUAAUCAGAACGUGAAGAUUAAUAAUGUCACAUGCAACUUCUUAAGAAUUUUAGGCUGUGGAAUAUUUUCAUGCUGCCUUUUAGUUUUAUGCCAUUUCUCUAUGAUCCAUUGUUAAGCGAAAAGAUCUAGUUCGUUGGGUGUGAAAAAAAAAAAACAAGAGAAAUGAGAAAAAGAGGAAAAAUAAAGUAUACAAAUAUUUAUAUGGUUCAACCACUGGCUUAUGUUCACAGGCGAAGACGGAGCGUAGACUUUCAUAAAUAAUCCAAGCACAGUACAAAAGAUGACUCACAAAAACCCUGCCUUCAAAAUACACCCUUGCUCUUUCUCAUUUUCAGCCCCAAAUCAAUGGAAUAAAAGAUAUAUUUAUAUUGGUGCCUAAAAUCCAAUAAGACUGAAUAAUCUCAAUAAGAUUAGGCAUAUUCCUAGCUUAACUUAAUAGGUUGUGAGGAAUAGAAUAGGGUUGGGAAACCUUGUGGUUCAAGAAUUUGAGGCAUAUCGAGCUAUCUCCACCUUGUCUUGAAUUCUUCAUCUUUUGCCAAAACCCCAAUGGUUCCUCGAGUGCUACUGCACAGACAAAUUGUCCAUGGAAUAUUGAAUUUGGUCAUCAAAAGAGGCUUAAUGAGCAAAUCUGCUUGGUUCUUUAGAGAACCAAUCUUCUUCCUCUCCAGUUAACGCCUUGUGCAACCUCAUUGCAUUAGAACGACUUACAUCUAAACUUGUUGAAUAGCGAAACUGCUGGAGCAAUCACACUUCUUGAUCUCAAAUUUCAUCAACAUUUUAAACACCCACUUGAACAAUCAGACUCUGAUAUUAGUUUCUUAUGAAUUCGCAACUUGCUUUGAUACCAAAAUUGCUUUGAUACCAGUUUGUUACGAUAAAAGCGGAAAUGAUUUAGUUCAUCGGGUGCGAAUAUACAAAUGAGAAUCGAAAAGAAGAGAAGAAAAAUAAAGAAUACAUAUUUACGUGGUUCGAUUACUCAUCUAAGUCCAUGGGCGAAGAUGGAGCAGAGACUUUUAUUAUAAAGUCAAACACAGUACAAAAGAUGCCUCUCACAAAAAAUAAAAUAAAAUAGAGAACACUAUUUACGUGGUUCGACCACUGGUCUACGUUCAUGGGCGAAGAUGGAGCAAAGACUUUAAUUAUAACCCAAAUAAGUACAAAAGAUGCCUCAUAAAAAAACCCUAGCAUCCAAAAUGCACCUCUACUCCCUAUCAUCUGCCGCACCAAAUCAACGAAAUAAAGAAUAUAUUUGUAUUAGUGACUAUAAUUCAAUAAGACUAGGAAUACUCUUAAUAAGAUUAGGUAUAAUCCUAGCUUACAAGUUGAGAGAAAUAGAAUAGAGUUAGGAAUUGUUGCGGUUCAAGAAUACGAGACAUAUCUGACAUCCAUCAGUAGAAGCAAGAAUUGUCUGCUGAUAAUGCUUUCAUUUUUUUCCGCUGCUAUUACAGCUAUAGAGCUAUAUAUUUCUAUUUCUUUUUUACUUGGAACCAAUAUAAUUCUUUAUGUCCAUUAUAUUAGUUGACAAUUCUAUAUGUGGCAUUUGUUUCUAUUAGAAGGUUGUGUAUCUUCAUUCUUUUUGUCGAAUAACUUCUCUCCUCGGAUAAAUAUGCUAUGAUAUUAUAUUAUGGGCUUAGUUUACUAAAUGGGAAUAUCGAUAACAAUCCCUUUUUGGAAGAUGAUCUAUUAUUGUGUUAAUUGCACCAUUGGUUCCUAAGCUUUUGCUCGAAUUUUUGCUUUCCUGAUCGUUUAAUUUUUUCAAUUGAGUCCCCAACAUUUAUUACUUUAGUCAACUAAGUCCCUGCAGUCAAAAAGCCCAGUAAUUCCAAUAGAAACUGUAAUGUAGGACAGAAUAUAGGAUCCUACAAUUUAGAGGGCUCCAAAAUAUGAUUUAUAAUUUUUUUGAAAGCUUUUGAAUUUCUAAAAUUUUCUGAAUUUUUUGAAUAUUUUUCAACUUUUAAAAAAUUUUCAGAAUUAAAAAAAGAAAUUAUGAAAAUCAAUAAUUAAGAAAAAUAGGAAAAAAUUCAGAAAAAUGAAAAGGGAAGAAAAAAAAAAGAAAAAGUAAUCAAGACUCACUCCUGAACCGAACUCGUUUCGGGAUUGGACUUACUUUAGGGCGAGUGCAUACACGAAAGGAAAAAAAGACAUCAUUGCCAAAGCAUUUGUCUUCAUUAUAGAUUUAUAAAUUCAUAUUCAUCAUCAUACAACGAAGUCGUAUGCCUUAUUAAUACUAUCCUUAACCUUACUUAUACAUAACCUACUUAGGAUUUUAACUUAUCCUAAAUAACUAAAAUUUUUUUUUAUCUAGAGAUUAACUGAAUAAUAAAAAUCUAAAAGUAAAUACUAACUAAAAGAUAAGAUCAACUAUUGUAAUCUGAUUUUAAAAAAACAUUGAAUUCAAGUGAUUUAAAUAGAUCAACCAAAUUGGGUCAGGCCAGUUUUGCAUCAUUCGCUUCUGUAGCACAGGGUUUCAUCCUCAAGACUAGCUGGAUUGUAAGGUGAUAAAAAACAACCAAGUGUGUGGAAUAAAGUAAUGCGGUCCAACACUUGCAUGUUGAACAACUUGUAUCAUCAAAGUCUCCAACUUGGUGUUGAUGUAGGAAUGACUAGUAAGUCGAUGACGCUUUAUAAAGAUUGAUAUUAUGGAGAAAAGUGGUUUUGGUGCAAUUUGAAGCUCAAGUAUGGAGGGCGGAUAUUGCUGGGGCAGUGAGGGUAAAUCGAUUUGUAGUCUUAUCUCUUCAACGCACUCAUCUACCUUGGCUGAAUAACUGCGGAUGCUCAAAUUCUAACUCCGUCACAUCUAGAACUUAUUUGCAAUCGGAUGGUGCGAAUGGACUGGAUCAGAAUUGUCAUCUCCUGACUUGUGCUAUGGGUGGCUUACUUUGUUGAGCAAUUAGGGUUUCCAGUUGAACUUUUAGUUGGAUCCAUCAAUACUCAUCUCUUAUCUUACUCAUCAUUAAAAAUCAUUUUCAACAAUUUUAGCAUCAUCUUCAAAAUCUUUCAACCUCCUUUUUUUCUUUGUCUGAAAAGUAUUUUGUUAAAAUCAAGAUGAAAUAUUUGCUUUUGUCUAUAUCACCAUCUCAAAUUACCUUAGUAUUUCCAUUUGAAUAUCGUUUUUUUUUCCUCCCAAAGUAUGACUUCUGAUCAUACAAUCAUUCAUCAAACUCGACUCUUGUCAUCUCACAUAUUUUUUUCACUGACUUUAUAUGAAUCCUUUUUCUUCUGCUAUACUUCCGGAAAACAUUUUUUAAGACAUUCUUUUGCAUCCAUGAUGUUUUUUUUAACUACUUUUUCUCUAUUUUUUUCUCCACACACUUUUCUUUCACCUUUUCUUUCACUCUACUUUUCUUUAUUUUACUUUUUCUCACUUUUUUUUUUUAUUUUCACCCUGUUUUCUUCCACAAGCCCCAAAUUUUUGAGGAAACGGAAUUGUCAAAUAGCCUAAGCUCUGAUGCCAAAUCUGAUAUAGGAUGGAAUGUAGUACCCUGCACUUUGGAGGACUUCUAAAUAUGAUUUACAUUAUUUUUGAAAGCUUUGGCAUUUCUAAAAAUUUUUGAAAUAUAUAUAUUUUUUUUAAAUUUCAGGAAUUAAAAAAGAAGAAAUUAUGAAAAGUAUGAAAUUAAAGAAACAAGAAUAAAAUUCAGAAAAAUAAAAAAAGAAAGGAAGAAAAGAAAAUUAGAAAGAAUAAUCAGGACUCACUCCUGAACUGUACUCUCUUCUGGACUGAACUCACUCUAGAGCGAUGCAUUCGUGAAAGAAAAUAAAAGACAUUAUUGCCAAAGCAUUUGUCUUCAUUAUAGAUCCAUAAAUUCGAGUUGAGCUAGUAUACUAUUAAUGGUAUAUAAAUAGUAUUUACUAUCUAAUUUUCUGCUAUUGGAUUAUUACUAUACCACCUACCACCACUAAAUCCUAGGCAUCCGAUGGCAAAAAAGUUGGUAGCAAACACUCUCAAUAGUAUAAAUAGCAUUUUAGCCCCACUAUGUAAAUUCAUAUCAUUAUCAUACAAAGAAGUCUUUUGCCUUAUUUAUACUAUCUAUCCCCUUAUACAUAACCAAGUUAGGAUUUAAUUUUAUCCUAAAUAAUGAACUAAACAAAACCUUAUCUUGAGAUUAACUGAAUAAUAACAAUCUGAAAUAAAUACUACCUAAAAGAUAAGAUCAACUACUCUAAUCUGAUUUUUUUUUUCAAAAUAAGCAAUAAAUUCAAUCGAUUUAAACUGAUUGACCAAAUCAGGUCGGCCCAGUUUUGCAUCAAUCUGCCACGUGGCAACCUCUGGCUUAUUAAACAGGCUUAUUGACAGCAUAGACUUUAAUUGAAACAAGUGACAAACUUUAGGGACUUGAUCGAAACAAUUAAAAAGUUUUGCAAUUAAAAUGAGAAAUUGGGUAAAGUUUGGGCAUCAACAUAGCAGCUCACCCUCUAUUAUGUACUGUAUCAAGUGUUCUAUCUCAAGUGAGAAAUCUGUUUAACUGUUCAACUAAUUUGUGUUUUAUUCUUUAGGAACACUUGCUGAUAGUUUGUGAGCUUCUCAAGGCAAACUUAUAUGAAUUUCACAAGUUCAAUAGAGAAUCUGGAGGGGAGGUUUACUUCACCAUGCCGAGGUUGCAGGUUGUUUAUUUAUUUUGUUUCUUUAGGUUGUUUAAAUUUCACCACCCCGUUGGCCCGCGUUUUGAACUUUUGUUGUUCAGGUUAUUUCACAUUUUUGCUAAUUUCCUCUACAGUCAAUAACUAUUCAGUGUCUGGAGGCACUUCAGUUUUUGCACGGCCUUGGUCUUAUUCAUUGUGAUUUGAAGCCUGAAAAUAUAUUGGUGAAAAGCUACAGCAGGUGUGAAGUCAAAGUCAUUGACCUUGGGAGUAGCUGCUUUGAGACCGACCAUUUAUGUUCGUAUGUACAGUCACGAUCGUACCGCGCACCUGAGGUUAUAUUGGGUCUUCCUUAUGAUAAAAAGAUUGAUAUUUGGUCACUCGGAUGCAUCCUUGCUGAACUUUGUACCGGAAAUGUAAGCUCUAUUUUCUGUUUGCUAUAAUGUUUGAGAAAUCAUUUACCGACAUAUACGCCCGUGGAAAUUUUAAAAUUUCUUCAAUGCCUUCAAAAACUUAAUUUCUUAUGUAUGUACCCUUGUUCUUUCAAAAAUAUCCCUGUUUUGGAAUCCACUUCCCCUCCAUAGAUUGGAUGAUUCCCACAUUUGAAGGAAACUGCACUUUCAAGGGUACAUAUAGAAGUUCAGAUUUUAUGGGACUAUAUAUGUAUAUAGUAAAUAGGUUACUUUGCAGGUGUAUACGUAUAUAUAUAUAUAUAUAUAUAUAUANAUAUACUUUUAUCUCAAGUCUAUUUUAUCUAAUAGCAUCAUAUAGGCCUCAAUACCAAACUAAGAUUUGUUUUGUAAUGAUAGGUUAACUUGCAAAGCAUCCUCACCCAAUGACAGAUGACAACUCUUAAUUUUUAGAGAAAGUAAAACAACAAAAAAUAACAAAAGAGGAUACAUUUAAAUUUUUACCUUUGUAGUCAAAUAAAUAUCUUAGAUAUACGCAAUAACUACAUGCAAUAUUCAUCCUUCACUUCUACAUCUUAUUUUUAUAAAACAUUUAUUUAAAUAAAUUAAAAAAUGAUGUCCCAUAAAAACUUGGAAUUUAGAAGACGAAUUUCCAAUGUUUAUAACUUGGUUAUUAAUGGGCCAUGUGUCUCAGCCUACGUACUUGAACAAUAGGCCCAAUGUAUUUUCUCGAAAAAAAAAAGGCGCAAUGUAAAUCAAUGAUCGGGGCCAUAAAAGGCCCAGGAAAUCUCAGAUUGGGCUCAUAAAAGGCCCACAAUGACCUUGAAGGAUCUCCCAACCUUAGCUUUUAUUAUCACAAUUUCACAAAUCUAACUUGUGGAGCAUUUAUCUUUGUUUAUUUUUUCUUUUUCUCUUAGUUUUAAUUAAUCUUUCUUUCAGAAAGCCCAGGCACACCUGUAACUCCAAAAUUUACUAUUUAUUUUUAUAAAAUGUAAAAUAUAAAAAUAAAUGUUAAAUAAGUUAGACUACUGGUAUUAGAUAUAAAUAUUAAUUUUAUAAUAUUAAGCAUUCACAUAUAAAUUAUACAUUAAAAAAUAAAAUAAGAUUGAUGCAGUUUAAGUUAAUUUUAUAUUUAACGAAAAUUAAUUGCAAGAAUCGCAAACAAUGAAUUCUCUUCUCAUUCACUAACUACUGGGGGAUUACGAUGCCUACUAAAAUUAUUUCACUAACUAAUGGGAGACUACUAUACCUACUAAAAAUUUUUGAUGUACUUAUUGCAUUAUUUAAAUUCUAAAAUUAAUUUUUAUAACUAAUUUUUAAAAUUAAAUUUUAAAAUAACUACCCGCAGCAUCGCACGGGUCCCAUAACUAGUGUUUUUGCUAAAUGGCUUCAGUUAAUACCACCGCUUGAUGCAUGCUAGGUCAAAAGUGUGAGCCUCAUUACAAUAGCCUAGCUCAAGGUUAAGUAUAUAUAUAACUGUACUUUAUGCAAAGAAAACUUUUGAAAGGUUUCUUUUUUCUUUUUUGCAAUUUUUCCUUAACUUAAUCACACUAUAUGUAAUCUUAUUAGAAACUCCCUUCAUCAUUUGAUAAACAAAUUAAAGAAUUUAAAAGGAGCUCCUUGUAGAUUCUAUUUCUUUUCUUUUUCCCCUUUUUAAUCCACAUAGUUUCCACCUACUCCAUUAGUUGGAUUGUGACCACCACCACCUACGAGGGAGAGAUAUAACUAAUAUUGUGUAGGACGAAUAGUAGGUUUCUGGAGCAAAAACAUUAUAUGAGCUUCAUCCCUAUGAUAAUGCAUGUGAAUAUGAUGAUGCAACACUUUGACCACGUGACUCGACCGUUUGGUUGGUGGUCACGUGCUCCGUUCGUUGCACCCACCCGUUGGUAAAUCCCUCCGGUCAAAACCCUACUCCUCCCUCACCCACGUAAAAACUAUUAAAUGCAUGCACCUGAUUCGUGCACCCAUUUACUUAGUACACCAUCAUAAUUAGUCGUAAUGCAACUACAUAUACGUUUUGGAACUAUAGUUUUUGGAACAACUUUGAUAUUUUUCAAAAGAUGUUUUUGGACAUAUAUAUAUAUAUAUAUAUAUAUAUAUAUAUAUAUAUCUAUAUAUAUAUAUAUAUAUAUAUAUAUAUAUAUAUAUUAGAUUCUUUAUGACUUUAAUUGACUGAAUUUAUCAGUCUUUUCCUCUCUCUCUCUCUCUCUCUCUCUCUCUCUAAUAUUAUUAUUAUUUUUUCAGGUUCUUUUCCAGAAUGAUUCUCCUGCGACACUGCUUGCUCGAGUGAUCGGAAUUAUAGGCCCCAUUGAGCAAGGGAUGCUCGCAAAGGGACGGGAUACAUACAAAUACUUCACGAAGAACCAUAUGCUGUACGAAAGGAAUCAGGUUAGAAUUCUUCGCUCAAAAUGUUGUGUUUCCUUUUAGCAUUUCUUUCUUUCUCAAUGCAAUGAGCGUGUGUUGCAUUUGAUUAUUGCAGUGACAAAAUGAGUCCCAAAUUUUUCUUCAAAAGUGGCUUAUAUUCUGAAUUUGUAAACCCAGAAUAGGCUGGCAAAAUACGAAAAAAAUCAUGAGUUCAAUGUAAAGAAUAACUAUUUGACAUCAAUUCAUAUACUGUCAUCUACAUACAUCGCCUUCUCCAGUUGAAGUCCAAAAUUGCAUCUCAUUUUGCCAUCUUUGUAUAAUGAGAUUCAAAUAAGCUAUUUAAACAGCUCUCCUUUUUCAGGAAACAAAUAGGCUAGAAUACUUGAUCCCAAAGAAGACGUCCUUGCGGCACCGUCUUCCAAUGGCCGAUCAAGGGUUCAUCGAGUUUGUCACAUUUCUUCUCGAGAUAAACCCCAAGAAGCGCCCGAGCGCAUCAGAAGCACUGAAACAUCCGUGGCUCUCCUACCCCUACGAACCAAUAUCCUCGUGAAGUUACUUCUCUGCGGACCAACUUACCCAUUUAAUACCUCGAUUCCGUUCCAGUGCAUACAAAACUGUAUUGUUAUUCCACCAUGGAUGAAUGGGCUGUCAGAUCGACGAAGUCGGUGCUUUGAAGUAUUUAAGCAGCAGGGGAUUUGCUUCUGAGGGUCUUCUCUGUAAUGGGAUGGUUGCCGCCACUUUCCUUCCCUUUUGUGGUGUGGCUUUGUUGUCGUAACCUUUAGUUUUUGUUCAUUGUAUGCCAGAUUAUCAUCUAUAACUGGGGGUGGGGUGGUAAAAGGACAAUGUAUGUCCUGUUGUAUAUUAAUUAUCUCAUUGUUAUUGUUAAUGUGGAUGCGGGGUUGUAGGGAGCUGCAUCGCUGCAUCGCCGACCCGCCGCCUGAUGCCAAAUAGUGCUUCGGGCUACCGCCUUAAUGGUUAGUUGUUAAGCAAUUUUUCGUUCCUGGAUUUUAACCCUUGCUUCAAAGGAAGAUCUUUGUGGUUGGCCUCAAAUUGUAUCUUUGCGGAGUUUUUGCGUUUAUAGACGCACAUUUAUGGGCUAGAUAAUUUUUGUAUCAUCUUUCUCUAGCCGUUUUGAAAGCCAGAUCUUUGCAUUUCUCAUUGGAUUCUGAGCAUUUACUUGUUAGUAGAAGUUUAAUUUGUUAAUUCAUUUUCGUUUUGUUAUUACCUGAAUGAAAAUUUAAUUACUCGGCAAAAUUUUAAUUAGUUUUAUUUGAGUUUUACUAUGCUGACGUACAAUUUCGUGUACACAAAGUUUAUGCCAUUUGUCCGAUUCCAGUAAGUUGCUGUGGGAUUCAUGCGGAUAAGGAUGGGCUGUGGGGAGAUUGUGUGGAUCGGGGUGAACGCUGUGAGUUUCAUAUCGUUUUAGCUUAAUAUUUUUAUUAUUUUUUAUUUUUUUAUUAUUAUUUUUGUUUUUCCUAAUUCUAUGCGCACGUACAUUUAAGGAAACGUAGUACUUCGCAUUUUAUAUUUGGAUGGGUUUGGAUGGGGAAUAGAUUUUCUCUGGAUAUUUUAGCACUAAUAAUUUGCUAGUACUAGUACUAAUUUGAUUGAUCCUUAUAAAAAUAAGAUAAGAAGAUACAGAAUUUAUUUGAACUAUGAACCAUUUUAAAUUAGUCGCCCAGCCUUUUAAAAUUUUAAUUUUACUAUCCAAUAUUUCAAUUUUUUUGAUUUGAGUGGCACUUUAACUUAAAAUUUGAAUAUUUUAUUUAUUUUUACAAAUUUACUUAAUAUAUACCUCACGGAGUUUUUGUAACUAUAAAUUCGGUAAAGUAAUUAACUUAAAUUUUAAAGUUAAAAUAACAUCGACCGACUCAAAUCAAAUAAAUUAAAAAAUUAGAUAAUAAAAUUUAAAAAUUUAAAAAACUAAAUAAAUAAUUCAAAAUGAUCCACACAGUUUAGAUAAGUUUUAUAUGUUUUUAUCUAAUUAUAAAUCUACUAGAAAGAAAUCACGCAAGGCUAGCAAAUAAGAAAAGAGACUUCAAAUCUUUCAAAAAAGUCUCUAAUAUUUUGAUUGUUGCAAUAUUUGAGCCCUAAAAUAGUAUUCGGCAAUGAAAGCAUGCAUAUUUUUAAAAAAUAAAUAUGGAGAGAGCGCCGCACGAAAUUUAUUAUGUAGGCAGCUAUGUUACGUGAUCUAUAUAUAUCCAGCCAACCACAUCAUUUUAUUAGAGAGAAAAUUACAAUAAAAAUAGUUUUUAAAAAUUUAUAAUAGGAUAGAUAAAUCACGUGAGAGCGAUUUGAUUUGAUUACUCGAAGAAUACCACAUCAGCAAUGCAUUGAUAUAACGAUCUUAGGCAGUGACCAGUGAGUGAGUGAAUGAAUCGUUUUAGAACAAACCAACCAACCAACCAACCAACCAAUCUUGAAAAAACAAUCGACUAUGUACGCAACAGUACUAAUUAAGCAUCCGAUCAUCUUAAAGAUCACGACAGUUGAUCGAGCAAUUAAAACGAAGGGAUCGAAAAGAGCCAUACGAACGAUGAUCGGAUGAUCCAGAUCUCGCUAUAACAUUCUCAGGAUGAUGUAUAUAUCGAACCACUAACAGCUCACGAGGGCGGCACGCGGGGGAUCGCGGCCGCCGUCGGGCCCGACCAGCAGGGGCCGACAGCCGGGGCAGCAGGGCCGGCAGCCGCGGGGGGCGGCGGAGCAGCGGGCGAUGGCGUCGGCCCGGCAGUCGCAGUCGCAGUCGCCGUCGGCGGCGGCAUCGCGGCAGCCGGAGGGCGGGGCGGACGAAGGAGCGGCGCCGCCGGCCGCCGGCGACGAUGCGGUGGAUGUAGCGGCUGCCGGACGUGGGCGGUGGCGGGCGGCGCGCUGGAGGAGGAGGAGGAGGACGAGGUAGAGGAGGAGAUAGUGGAAGGUCGUGGAGUUCGCCAUUAAUUUCUUGUUUCUUAUAAUUGGAUUAGAGAGAGAGAGAGAGAGAGAGAGAGAGAGAGAGAGAAACUAGAGAGAUGAGAAAUGUAUUAGAGAGGGGGUGAAGGAAAAAGGCUUUAUAUAUAUAAAAGAUAAUACAUGGAGGGAGAGCUCCGGCGGUUAUGCGACAGUUAUACGAUCUGUAGAGAAUAUUUUAAUAUAUAAAUCUAUGUAAUUAAAUACGAAAAAAAAAAAAAAAAGCUUCAAAUACCAUGCCUAUAAUUUCAUACAUUUUUUACUUUAGUAUCCUAUGUGUGCUUGAAAGUGUGUCAAUUUAGUACUCCGUGAUUUUAUUUUAUUUUAUUUUUAUUACCACUUCUAUUAAUUUUUUUCGUUAAAUUAGUAACAAAGUUUAAACUAAGAGGUAGUAAAGUGAAUAUUCAAUAAAUCUAGGUAGCGUAUUUGAAGUUUUUUUGUAUAUAAUUUAAUAAAAUGUUAAUGGACGAGCUAAAAAAAAAGAGAAAUGAAAUUACAGGAUACUAAAGUGAGAAAGUGCAAACUCAACCCUAAAAAGACCAUUCAACCCUAAUAUCAUCCUAACCCCACAAUAAUUUUUCAUCCAAAGGUUAAAACUUUGGUAGCAAAAGGGACCAAAUACCAUUAAUAGUAUUCCAGCCCAACUUGCAUAAUUCUAUAUAUAUUUAUAUAGAGUACGGCUAGUAGCAUAAUUCUAUAUAUAUAUAUAUAUAUAUAUAUAUAUAUAUAUAUAUAUAUGUAGUUGAGCUAGAAUACUAUCGAUAGCAAACGGGCUCCGUUGCCACCCAUUUGUUUUCGAUGAUGGAGCCUCCAAAUUGACGAUCGGCACUGUUGAACAUGAUCUAUACUACUUGAAGCAUCUAGAAAUCAAAUUUCAUACUUUUUCGAUAUUGUUCUCUUGUCGAUCAAGUGGGCACAAAAUGAACGGCUAAAAAUGAAUAUUCUUUAAAAAGUGAUGAUAGGGAUCUUAUGAUCAAAAUCGAGAGUAUAGAUCUUGUUCUAAAUAGUUUAAAGAAUUUUCUAACCAAAAUUCAAUUGAUUUGGAUAUCUUUACACCGUUAAACGAGAAAGUGCUUCAUAUCGAUCAUUAAAAUUAUAAAUUUUGAAACCCUUUAAUCAUUAGGUUAAAAAUAUCGAAAAGAUUUGAAAUUUGGUUUCUAGAUACUUCAAGUGGUAUAGAUCACGUUCAAUCGUGCCGAUCGUCGACUUGGAGGCUCCAUCAUCGAAAACAAAUGGGCGACAAUAGAGCCCGUUUGCUACCGAUAGUAUUCUAGCUCAACUCUAUAUAUAGAGUGAGGCUACUAUGCUAUCGGAAGCACGGAGCCUUCCGUGCUUCCAGUUUGUUUUCGAUGUUGCGACUUUCGAAUCGUCGAUCGGCUCCGUUAAAUUUGAUCUAGAGUAUUUGGAGUACCUAGAAAAUAAAUUUUAUUAUUUUGCGAUAUCAUUUGCCUAGUAAUCGAAUGGGCUCAAAAUCAACAAAUUUCAAUGGCCGUAGUGAGCCGUUUGCAAGUUUAACGGUGUGGAAAUAUCCAAAUCAUGUGAAAUUUUGAUAGAAAAUUCUUUAUACUAUAUAAAACAAGAUCAAUAUCUUUGAUUUAAAAUUUUAAUGUCAUAUUAUUACAUUUUGUAAGAUUUUUAUUUUCAGCCGUUGAUUUUGAGCCCCUUCGUUCACUAGGCAAAUGAUAUCGUAAAAUCAUAAAAUUUAUUUUCUAAGUACUUCAAUUACUCAGAUAAGGUUUAACGGAGAACCGAAUCGACGAGGGUUUUUUCGAAUAAUUCGAAACAUCGAAAACGAGCUAGAGACGAGACUCCGUGAUUUUCGAUAGGUAUGUGCCUACUCCUCCUUAUACUAUAUAUAUAUAUAUAUAUAUAUAUAUAUAUAUUAUAUAUAUAUAUAUUAUAUAUAUAUAUAUACUCUGAAUAAAUACUUUUAUUUUUCAUAAAAUAUAAGAUAAUAUUAUUUCUUGAUUUUCAAGAUUACAUGGGCUUACAUGUUUUCACUAGGUCAUCAAUUUCCAUUAUAUUUCACAUAAAAUUUCCACUAGUUUUGUGCUUUUGCAAAUCCGGCUCGUUUUUUUUUUUUUUUUUCCUUUUUUAAACUUUGUAUAUUCGAUCAUAUUUUUUAUUCUAAAGAAUUGAGCAAAUUACCACUUUGCCCGAAAUAGGCAUAUAGUGCACAUAUUAAACCUAUUUGUAACUCUUGCUCUCUUACCAACCGUCCCUAGAGCAAGUGACAAAAGGCUUGAUGAUUGGUAUCCGAGACCUAAGUUCGAAUCCUAGUUGAUUCACAUUUCUAGCUAAGUUUAUUUCUAAAUGAAAUAAACGAAGCGGGUAGCGUGCUAUCUAUCUCUCAAAAAAAAACUCUUGCUCUCUUCUCCUUUGUUCUGUGCAGUCCUACUUCGUCUCCUUCCUCUCAUGAAAAAAUUGUAAAAUAUUAACGUCCUCAACUUAUUAAAUAGAUUCUUUUGAAUUAAUCCAUCACAUCAUAAUUAUAAAAAAAAAAAAAUCUAUUGUACUUUUUUUUAAAAAGAGAGACAUAAUUAACGUAUUAUUCCUGAUGUGGUGCAAUUAUGAAACAAUAGACUUUUUCCCUCUCAUCUCCCUUAUUCUGGAUGUGCGCAUCCCCCUUGCAUGGCGCCUUGGGCCGAUUGCAUGUGUGUUCUACGAAGCUUGCAUCGCAUUGGAGGAUGUCUAUAUUAUAACACUCACACCACAUUAUCUAUCCUCAAGGCGCCAAUCACAUCUCCUCUUUUGAGAGCAAAGUAGAAUAAAAUUAUUAUUUUAAUAACCAGGAUAGAAUGGGCGAACCAAAAUAAAAAAAAAAAUCUGAUUGAUUGAAGAUGCCGUAACAGCAGCAAUAUAACUAAUACAUUUUAGACUUCAUGAUACUGGGGAGCGGUGGUGAGAAAGUGCAAAACCACGGGACAUUAACUUGAUACACUUUAAACCACAAGAUACUAAAGUGAGAAAGUGCGAAACUACAGAAAUAGUAUUUGAAGUUUACCCCAAAAAUUAUGGCCCGAGGCUCCAAACAAAAUCAAUGCUUUGCCAGAAGCAGUUCCACAUAAACUCAAGCUCAUUCAAGUUGAUAGUUUCUGCAGAAGUAUUGUCUGAAUCGAAUUGUUCAAACAAAGCCAAUAGAACAGAUUUCAACUGCAAGUAGAAACAGAUGAGAUUGAGACAAGAAUUCUAAAAAAGUAGACUAUCUUUCGCAUCUUAGAAAACAAAGAGUCCGCUGCUAACUGACAGAGCAUGCAGUGCAACUUAAAAAUUGUCGAGCAACGAUUUCUCAUUGAUAAUAUAUAACAAUUGAAAUCAAAUGGCAUAGCCUAGUUAUAGUAUGAGUCAUUCCCCGCGCAUUAAGUUUCCAGAAAAAUACAGCAAAAAAGGGGGAGAUAGCUCACGAAUAACUUGAACUUGUCAAUUGUGUUAUCCCUGUCAUUAUACAUUUAAUCAACUACAGGUAUUCCCAAAUCUAAAACCCAACAGAAAAUCAACUUUGUUAUAAAUUAGCCCGAUAACCAAGAAAUAAAGAGGAAGUUAUCAUGACAAAAUUUAUCCCGAACCGAAGAAUAGCAGAUAUGAGUAUCAUGCACAACGAAAAAUUUAGCCGCAAUUUUCAAGUCGAAAUAUCAAUGAGAUUACAUAUCGCAUACCCUGGAUAAAAUAAGGCCUAUAACUAGGACACUCUCGGCUUGAAUCACUUGUGAUGUUAAAAAGAAUCUCCAAGUGUAGAAGAUUUAAGUCAUGUUUGAAGCUUGAGAGAAGGCCGGCCAGAAACAUAGCAAAUGAGAAAGGUGUCAUGCUAAGUCUUCGGAUGGCAAUUUGUUACAUUUUGUAAAGCAUAUAUAACAAUUUACAAUCCAAGCUUUAUUAGGAUUUCUCAUUGUUUGGUUGAAUCUCUUUUGUAUCCGAAACUGAAUAUUUGACAUGGAUAUUAUAGAAAUUAGCUCCAAAUUCCCUCUGACGCGGGCUUAAAAGCAGCGUUGGAAGGAAAGAAGCACAAGACGAAUAACACAAUUUCUCGACAAAGAUGGAAAUAUUAUUAAUCAACUCUAAAAACUAAUUACAUUAACCAAACGCUACGUAUACAUAUAGGAUCGAUACCGGGAUCCUACUAUAAGUGAUGAUAAUAAAUUGUAAUAAUCUCUAAACCUAAACCGAUCAGAAAUAACCAAAUAAUAGGACUCAAAAUAAGAUAAAAAAUACAAAAACUUCCCGAAAAUAACUUAAAAAUGUAAAAACGGAGGCCUAAACAAUUGAAUUUGCAUCCCAAACUCGGCAGGAAUGGUUUUGCUGAUCAACUCGUAAAUCUCGAAAAAUAUUUUCCGAAUUAGAGUUGCAUGCUGAAAACGGACACUCGAGUGAAAACUUAAGGCCGUUAAAAGAUUUUUCUCACCGAUUGUAAAAGUUGCUGAACUCAGCAGGAUUUCUAGCCCAGCUUGGUUGAGGCACGCUUUCCCUCCCUUUCUUUUUUUUUUUUUUUUGAUUGAUAAAACGUGACUCUUGGAUAAAAGGGAGGUGCAAUAUCAUAAUUUUUCUAUAUACGCACCAGUGAGGUCGAAACGACAAUUACCCAUGAACAUAUUCUCUCAUCUUUAAGCAAAUUCAUUUCUAGCAUUAAAGUAUUUACAUGAACAAUGUCAUCACAAAGUCACAACUUGUUUCGAAAUUUAUAUGGCUGAUACAAAAUUUCCCAAGGCUAAAAUAAUAAUCAAAAUAUAACUCUUUUAUGAUUUAUACAUCAAUCCAUGUGAAAAACUACAAUCUGCGACUAGGAUCACUGAAAUUCACAAAACUAAAACACUCCUAUUGGUAAACAAUCCUUUUGUUUACAUGAACAAUGUCAUCACAAAGUCACAACUUGUUUCGAAAUUUAUAUGGCUGAUACAAAAUUUCCCAAGGCUAAAAUAAUAAUCAAAAUAUAACUCUUUUAUGAUUUAUACAUCAAUCCAUGUGAAAAACUACAAUCUGCGACUAGGAUCACUGAAAUUCACAAAACUAAAACACUCCUAUUGGUAAACAAUCCUUUUGUUUACAUGAACAAUGUCAUCACAAAGUCACAACUUGUUUCGAAAUUUAUAUGGCUGAUACAAAAUUCCCCAACGCUAAAACAGCAAUUAUAAUAUAACUCUCUUAUGAUUUAUACAUCAAUUCAUGUGAAAAACUACAAUUUGCGACUAGGAUCACUAAAAUUCACAAAACUAAAACACUCCUAUUGCUUUCCAACGGGAAGGAUGUUAAUGAUUUCAAAUGUCCGCGAUGAGAUAUUCAGAGGAAAACUAAUAUUAAGUGCAUCACAUACAACACUUGUAAACAAAAGGAUCAGAGCAAGUAGGCAGGAACAUUGCAAGAAUAAAAAUUAGGUUUCAAUAAUGGCGAUCAAAUUGUGCAGAUAAGCUUCUCUACUGUAGCAAGAGAUCAAAAACAUCUCAGAAAUUCUAAUCCAACAAAAAAAAAAAAUCCAUUUACCUCAAAAAUUUUUCAAUGUUACGCCGCAAAUUCUUAGAUCCUAAUCCGAAAAGCCCAUAAAGUUCAUCUUUUCCCUAUCUCUUCUCCUUCUUCUUCUUCUUCUUUCUCCUCGCAUCCCCCAAAUCCCCAACGCCCCGACCACCAUCGAAACCGCUCCUUUCCCCAUCCACCUCCUCUCUCUUCCGCUUCUUCUUCUUCCUCAUCCCCCUCGUCUCCUCUGACCCCAAAACCCUAGCGCCCACAUCCCCAACCUCUCCCUUAACCCCGCCACUAGGGUUUUCCACUUCGCCACCCCCGUGAGGAUCGAUCUCGCGGUGGAGGCGCACGAGCUCGUCGAGGGCGGAUCUGAAGCGGCGGAUGUAGGCGGCGAUGUCGGGGCGCAGUCCUCCUCGCCGCCGGCGGCGAAGCGCGGCGAGGACGCCGCCUCCACGAGCGACGGCGCCUUCGACCCGCCACCACUCUCUCACCGCCCUCAUCCACGGCGAGAUAGGAGGUGCAGGGCAGCGAGAGAGAGAGUAGAGAGAGAGUGCAAAGGGUAAAUCGGCGACUUUGCAGGAGCUUCGGCGAAGGGAGGAGAAUUAGCGGUUGUAUUGACGGGUUUUGUGGUAGGGGUGGAAUCGGAGCCGGCGAUAACGAAACGCCUGCCCGUAACCGUUAGGCCGCCAGUAUGCUAACGGGCCUCGCUCCGUUUUUUUAUGAGGUCGGGUGGAAUUUGCCCCCCCCCCCCCCCCCCCCCCCCCCCCACCCCCCCCACAUUACCACUCCAUUCUAAAUUGAUCGAAACGGGUCUUAGGGAUGUCAAUAAAUAUGGAUAUUCAAAAUUUUAUUUGAACUCGAAUAUGAACGGAGCGGAUUUAUUUGAUGUUAAGUGGAUAUAAUUUUGGAUAAAGAUAUAAACAAACAAAAACUCGAGGGAUUUUGAUUCAGAUAUGGAUUUUGUCCUAACAAAAUCCGAAGCCUGACUCAUUCCUAAUCCAAAUUAAUAUUAUAUAUAAAUAUUUUAUGUUAUAUUUGAAUUUGUAUUUUAAUAAUAUUAUAUAUUUUGAAAUAUGGUAAAGAGAAAUAAUUUGGGUUCGGGUUCGAAUUCGGAUUUUCGGGCUUUUGGUCGGAUUCAGAUUUGGACAUAGAUUUUUAAAAUCCGUCGGAUUUGAAUUUAGGUUUGAGUUUCGAAUUUGAAUGUGUCCAAGCCUUGCCCAGAUUUAGCCUGAAAACCUAAUGCAUUAGUUACCAUUAAUUAUUAACCAAAUAUUUAGUUAUAUACAUUUAUCUAUGUAAGAAAUUACGAAUAUACCUAUAAUAUAUUAUAGAGAAAAUAUCUACUGUGCCUUUUAAAAUUUUAAAAAUUUUCUAUUUUGCCUUGAUUGACCAAAGUUUUUUUCUUUUUAUUACAAAAAUUUGUUCAAAUUUUAGCCUCACCGGAAUAGAAUUUUAAAAAAGCAUUCCAAAAAGAACAAUACUAUCCGUACACACCACAGUGAGUGUACAUAUUAUAUUUUUACCAAAAAUCAAUUAAAUUUUUGUGAUCCUUAGAAUGAAGGGUAUAAAAUCUACACCCUAUACAAGUACAAUAUUUCUUUAAGAAAAAGAAAAGUAAAUUUAAAAGUUUUGAAUGGUAAUAAACCGCAUAUAAGCAAAAACCCCUGUAUUAUAUACAUAGUAGUAUUUUAAAGCCCUAAAUAAUUUAAUUAGACAUUAUUUGUUCCUUGGACUUAAUUUUUCUAAAAGAAAUGGAUAAAAAAGGUUGACGCGAAGCCCAACAUUAUUUUUUGGACCGAUUUUGGGUAUAGUAUGACCAGACCCGAAUCCGGCGCAGUUCCAACCUUAUAAAUUAAGGCCCCGUUUGGUUGGGGGGAUAAGCGGGGAUAACGAAAGUUAUUCCCGCUAUUCCGCCAAACGGGGUGAAAUUUGGUCGGAAUAUUUUAUCCCGGUCAAACCUUGCUAUUCCCGGUUAUCCCGGAAUAGCAAGGGAUUUGCUAUUCCACCAUUUUGGUGGAAUAGCACUAUUCCAAUGCUUUAUUUCAAACUUAAUUAAAAUUAUAAAUUGAAUUAAAACUAAAUUAUAUAAAUAUAAUAUGUUAUAUAUUAUAUAUUAUAAUACAAUAUUUUUAUUAUAAAAUUAUUAAUUGUACUAUAUUAAUACAUAUUAUUUAUAUUUAAAUAUUAUAAUAAAAUUUAUAAUAAAUUAUAUUUAAAUAUUAUAAUAAAUUCUUUUUAUUAAAUUUAAAUUUAAGUAGAAUUUUUAAAAAAUUUAUAAAUUUAUUAUAAUAAAUUAUUUUUAUUAAUUGUUCCCACCACUAUUCUUAUUUUAAAAUUUUAAAAAUUAAAAAUUUAAAUUUUUAAAAUUUAUAAUUUAUAAUCUCAAAAUUAAAGUUUAAAAUUUAAAUUAUAAAUUUUAAAUUUUAAAUUUAAAUUUUGAUAUUUUAAAUUUUUGAAAUUUAAAAUUUGAUAUUUUAUAUUUUUUUAAAUUUAAAUAUGAUCUUAAAUUUAAAGUUUGAAAUUUAAAAUUUAAAAUUUUGAAUUUAAAAUUUGAGAUUUUAAAUUUCAAAAUUUGAAAUUUCAAAGUUAAAAUUUUAAAUUUAAAAAUAUAUAUUUAAAAUUUUAAAAAUUUAAAUUCAAAUAUAAUAAGAGGAUAAUAUGAUUAUUUUUUAUUUAUAAAACUCACUAUCUUUCUUAUUCCAUCUUACCUAACCAAACGUUAUUUUUUUUAUUCACAGGAAUAACCCAAUUUUCAUCCAAACGCAAAAUUGAUCUAAUCCUCGCUUAUAUCUCAAUUUAUACCUAUCCUUGGAAUAGCCACUUUUUCCUUAUUCUCGAACCAAACGAUACCUUAGAGAGACAAAAUUUUGGUUGGGAUAAUUUCCAAUGUGAGACAAAAUUUUAGUUUUUUUCGUUGUUUUUUGUUGAGUUGCAAUUUCAGUCUAAAAGCUUUUAAUGUACUUUUCAUAUUAUUAAAUUCAAUCAAAUAUGGUUAUAUCAUUCCGUUUUAGUUUACAUUUAUAUAUAUGUGUUUAUUUAAUCUGUAUAUUUUUGCUAAAAAAUUUCUAUUCAUUCGCAUCGUGAGGGUCCCUACACUGGUAUAUAUAAAGAUGAACAAAAAACUUUUAGUUGUGAUGGAAUCCUAAAUAGAAUCAUAUAUGUUUGAAAAAUAAAUUGGUUUAAAAAUACCUAUCAAAUCAAUGAUUGUUUAAAUUCAAAUAACAGAUCCAAAAUUAACUUUAAAUUUUGAGUAUCAUUCAUAAAUUUAAUCUAAAUUCAAACUUUAACUUAAUUAUGGAAUCAAUUUAAAUUUUUAAAUUUUGAGUAUUUGUUAAAAAACAAUGGUAUGUAAUGAACACAUAAAAAAUAUUUACGGCAUAACUAAAUUGGGAGCAUACGUAGAAACAAAACAAAUUUAAAAAAUAAAUCAAUUAGAAAUAGACUCAUGUCACCCAUAGCCAUUUUAAUUCAAAAUACAUAUUCAAAAUUUAUUUUAACUUUAAUUUUAUUUUAAAUUUAAUUUAAUUUAUAAUAUUAUCUGCAUCGCACAUGUAUUAUAACUAGUGUGUAUAUGUAUUGCGGUCCCAUGGCCCCCAUAAAUUAUAGACCAUUUAGAAAUAUGUUCUCAAAAUUUUGCAUUUUUGGCCUGAGCAANAGAGAGAGAGAGAGAGAGAGAGCAGGGCUGCUGUGCUCUCAGGAGCACGAAGGCCUUCGUGCUCCUGAGUCGUUUUCGAUGAUGGAAUUUUCGAAUCGACGAUCAGCUCCGUUAGACUUGAUCUAGUGCAUUUGAAGUUUCUAGAAAAUAAUUUUUGCGAUUUUUUGAUAUCAUUUACCUAGUGAUCGAAAGGAUUCAAAAUUCAUAAUUUUUAAUGGUUGAUAUCUGCCGUUUUCAAGUUUAACGGUGUAGAAUUAUUCAAAUUAGAUGAAAUUUUGAUACAAAAUUUUUUAUACUAUCUAUAAUAAAAUCAAUAUUUAUGAUCGAAAAUUUUAGUGCUAUAUAACUACUUUUUUUAGGAUUUUUAUUUUCAGCCGUUAAAAAUUAUUGAUUUUGAUCCUUUUGAUUGCUAGGUAAAUGAUAUCGAAAAAUCGCAAAAAUUAUUUUCUAGAAACUUCAAAUAUGCUAGAUCAAGUUUAACGGAGCCGAUCGUCGAUUUGGAAACUCCAUCAUCGAAAACGGCUCAGGAGCACGGAGGCCUCCGUGCUCCUAAGAGCACCGCAGCCCUGCUCUAUAUAUAUAUUUAAGAAAUUAUAUAUUCGUAUUCGUAUUUUUUACGAAAUUAUAUUUUCUUAAAAAAUACGAUUGUAUUAUUUAAGAAAUUAUAUUCGUAUUCGUAUUUUUUUUAUUUUUUGAAUGGGAAUUCAUAUACGAAUAUGUGUGAAAUACUAAAUUUUUAAAAUUCAGCUUUCAGUUUCAGUUUGGUUUAAUUAAACAUAUUUUUUUAACUAAAUUGAACUGAAAAACCUAAUAGUAAUAUUUUUUACACUUUCUAUCGUAACUAGUUAUUGAAAUUUUAUAUUUGUAAUAAAAUCUUGAUUGUAUAUUAAUACAUUUUUCAAAAUUUUACACAUCCAUAAUUAAUUUUUUUAUACGUUUAUAAUUAAUUUUAUACGGUUAUAAUCUCAUAUGAUUUAAUUUUGAAUCUUAAAUUAUAAUUAGUUCGCAAAAAAAAUAGAAAAUCUAAGAAUUAAUUGCAAAAUCGAACCAAGCAAACUCAAAGCAAAUCAAAUUAAUUAUUCAGUUUUGAUUUGGAUCAGUUCUGAAUAUAUAAAUCGAUUUGAUUUAGUUUUAAAUUUUUUUAACCAAAAAAUUUAGCUUGGUUUCUCUUUCUUAAUAGCCGAGUUAAACUUACUUUUAUUUUUGGAUAAAAUUAUUAUUCUCUCUUUAAAUAGUAGAAAAAUACUACGUGUACUCGUCUUUGGGAAUAUAUUGUAUCCCUCACUCAUUCUGGGAGAAGAAUCUUUUCACUAGUCAUAUUGAUGUAGCUAGUAAAUACACCUUUCAUCCUAAUAUGGAUAUUUUUGGGUGUAUACAUAGUGUUGCUCUAUAAAGUAUAUUUAAUAACAUUGACCGUACUUCGUGCAUUGGCUCGAGGCGUAGGCUUUGUUUGGGAUUGCAGGGAGAUUGCGUUACGUGCGGCGAGAAAGUAUGUUGGAAAAAUAUUCUGUUUAUUUCCGUACGUAAUAUUCUGUUCCGCAUAUCGCGAUGAGUCCGUUACGAUAUAUUUUUUGCUGUCCCACCGGAGAACGCAGAAAUAUAUUCCUAUAUGCUUUUUCUUGAACACCAUUUUAUCUAAUAGUGUUAGAUAGACCUCAAUACCAAACUAAGCCUUAAUAGUUGGAGACAACUUCAGCGGGAAGCUCCCUAAGGAUGCCUUAUUGCCUUAUUGGGAAGCUCAGAUUCGCUGUCACAUGUUAAUUUCAUCUCUAUCUAAAAAUUUGUUGGAUAUUUUCUUUAUUGCAAAAAUUCAAAAAAUAAAAUAUAAAAAAUUUUAAUAGUAGAGAAAACUGAUUAUAACUUUAGAUUAGAGACAAAACUGAUAUGCGACAGCAAAUCAAUAGCUCCUCAACAAUGCAUCAUUGGGAAGCUCACCAUUGAUUAUUUAUUUAUUUAUUUAUUUAUGAUUGGUAUAUAAAGUUCUAAGUUUGAAGUCUAACUGUUUUAUAUUUUUAGCUGAUUAUAUUUAAAAAAUAAAAAAAUAGUUUGUUAUCUUCUUCUCUUAAAAAAUGAAAAAGUUAGCAUACCGAGGCAAAUUUACCUAAAGUUAAAUUCUGUAGUGAAUUAUUAGGAACAACCAUUAUCUUUGUUAAAUUAUUAUUUUAUUUUUUCAAAUAUAUCUUUUACUAUCAUUAAUUUUUCUCAUUUGUCUUUGAAGCUAGUGGCAUAAAAAGUAUUUUGAAUUUUUAUCUUUUCUAAUAUUCCCUUCUACUGUUAUCAACUUUUUUUAUUUGUCCUUUAGUUAGGGACAAAGAAGGUAUUUUGACUUCUGUAUAACUCUGAUAGAAAUUUAAUUCGGUUUUAACCCAUGAUGACCUAAAGAUUACUAAUUAUGGGGUUAUUUUUGUGUAACGGAGAGAUAUACGGGGGUAUAUUUGAAAUAUAAAAAGUAAAAAUAUAUAAGAUAUUUUAAAAGUUUCGAAUGAUAUAUAAGUAAUUAUCCUAAUUUAUAAUUUUAGAACUUUGCAUGGACACAUAUAAUUAAAUGCAAUGUCCCGAAUCAUCUUACCAAAAUAUUAAAUUUUAGUUGACCAGAAGAAGUGAGUGGAAAAUGGAAAUAUAUAUAAUAUAAUAUUCCAUUUAAUAAUUUUGGAUAUUCUUUUGCACCUACUUUAUUCUUCAAUAAUAAUAAAAUAAAUUCCCAACGUGUCAAACAUGCUCUUACAGUUGGUCAAAGGUUUGCAUGAGAAUUUUUUCUUAAAAAAAAAGAAAAAAAUAAAAUAAUUCAAUUAAUAAGAACUUAAUCUUUUUUUUUUUUUAAUUAACACCCGGUAGAGUUUAGUUUGUGGUAUUUCUGUGAUUCUAAUCAUCUAAAAUAAUAAUUCAAUUAAAUUAAACAAGCUUUGGUUUAUAUGUAAAAAAAAUAACUGGAUUAUUAAAUUUGAAAAACAUUUAAUUUAUUUAACUAAGAUUAUUUAAUUUAGAAAAGACAAAAGCUAGAAACAUAUUAAUAAAAAAAAAAAGAUAAACUUCCAACACCCCUCUAUAAUUCACCACAUUGAUUUGUCACCCUAUCUAUUUAUAUAUCUGUAGAAUAUCAUGAAUUGAGAGUUCAAUUGAGAGUUCUUAAUCCACAUGUCACUAUAUCGACGGAAUGGGCUGGGUGGGGUGGGAAGCAGGGCGGGCGCGGGGGUGGGAGUUUUUUUUUUUUUCUUUAUUUUUCUACCAUUUCUCUUUUUCUCUACUAAUUUAGAGAUAGAUUGAAUUUUUUUAUAUAACUCAUUAUAAUUUUUUAUUUUUAUUAUAAUAUUUUUUUUUCAUUAUAAAAAUUUAAAAUAAACCUUCGGGAGGGAUAAUAUGAAUGAAAUACUAGAGUUUAAAAUAUUAGAUAUUUAUUUUAAAAGUUUGGGAGUACAGUAAAACUCCGCUAAGAGCUCAAGAAAUAAUAGUGCAAUUUACCCAUAUUUUAGUCCUCGGCAGUUACUGCUCCUAUAAAUAUAAUUUAUUUUUUUUAUUUUUUUUAUAUUCUUCUUAUAUUUUUAUUCUUAUACUUUUACUGCAAUAGCUGCUGCUUCUUCUUCAGUUUCUCUUAUUUUUUUUUUAUUUUUGACUCUUCUUUUUUUAUUAUUUUUUUAAAUUUUAUUUAUUUAUUAUUUUUGCGAUAUCGACCCGCUACAAUGCGCAAGUUCCUUCACUAGUGGUUCUAAAUGUUUUGAUUUUGCUAUAUUAUAAUUUUGUCUUUAUUUUAUUGUACGGACCUGGUGUUAAAAAAAAAUACUAAAUAAAAUAUUGUACAAGUCCUAGGAUAGAUGGCAGCCUACAAAUUAUAUGCUACUAAUUUACUACUUUAUUUUGACAUUUGUGAUUUGUAAAUAUAUUACUUUACUAUAAGUUUGUCACGAUACAGCACAGAAGCUAAAUCGCGCGUGCGCACAGAGUCACCGUAUUGAUAGAAUCUUCUUUGUAUGUCAAAAGUGUUUAGAGUACAAAUCACCUAUCAGUUUUCACAUUUAGAAAGCAAACAACCCAUAAAUGUAAACUUUUUUUGAUGCCCUAACUUCCCAGCGGGUCAGCCAUCUUAGAACUACUCCCGUCCUAGCACGCUUAACUCUUUCAACAUCUUUGAAGCCACCACCCAAAAUAUUUAAGUCAGGUUAAGAGUAUUAACCCUAUUAUAUCAUAUAUAUAGGACUAUAUGGGGUCUCACAUUAUUCCCCUAUUAUAUCAUAUAUAUAGGACUAUAUGGGGUCUCACAUAAGUCCCCCCUUGUAGCCCUUAUGUCCUCGUUAGGCUUAGAUGCACAAGUAUCAGGUGAUGUAAGACUCGUCUUGCUAGCCUUAACCGACAUUGUGGUAAGAUGCGUUCCACGCACAACAGUCAACAGCAUGAGAGUCUCGCUCUCCCCGCUGUAUAAUUCUGGCUCAGCCGAGACUCAGCUCACGCUUCCGACUAGUAAUUGGCUCUGAUACCAACAGUGACGCCCUAACUUCUCAGGGGUCAUUCAUCCUAGGAUUACUCCCGUUCUAGCACGCUUAACUCUCUUAACCUCUUAAAUCUAGCUACCGCACAAAAUACUUAAGCCGGAUUAAAAGUUUUAAACUUAUUAUAUUAUAUAUAUAAGACUACCUAGGUUCUCACAACUUUUAAAACAAUAUCGAUCGAAAGUGUUUACAAAAACCAUCCAAGUUUUCAAAAUGACAAAUCCUUCUAUCACAAAUUUCUUGUCAAAAUAGAAUAGUGUUGUGUUUCCAAACUACACGAGUUCCAAAUAUAACUUCCAACUAAUAGGGUUUAUUUACAACAUUCUUUUUUUCAAAAUAAAACCAAAGGUGUAGCUAUGUGAGUGAGGAACUAUCGAAUGCAUGGUCCUUACAAAGCGCCUCACUCCGCCAUGUUCGAUAUACGUACCUAAAAAAACGAGAGGGUGAGAAACUAUAAAAAGUUUUCUAAUAGGUACGGCAAGCCAACAAGAGUAAGCUUGCAUGGAUUGAACAAUAUGAUAACAACAUCAAGAUUAACUGAGAGGUACAACAUGUAAGGAUAUGAAUAACUAUAUAUGCAAUUAUCAUCAACUGACGAUAUCCAAUAGAUGUCAUUUAUGAAUCGUCAUACAAAGGUACGAACUAUGUAUGGCUAUUACCAAGCAACUAUAUCCAAGUAGAUGGCAACUAAGAGUAGUUAUGCAUCAAUGCUACAUACCAAAUAGGUGAUCCUGCUGACCUGUGCUAGAGCCGAAUUGUAGCUGCUACGACUCAAUGUUGAAUUGUGGCAUAACGGCCGAAUCGAGACCAAAUGUCACCAAAUCGCGUGCACUCUUCUAGAAGAGCUUUUCCUACCACAAUUGAUUAGACAACUAUGUUGGCGGUAGGAGAGCAAGUAACAUGGAAAAUCUUUAUAAUGAUGAUCAAUGUCAACUGUAACAAUAAAGGAAAGAGUAUGCCCAACAUGUCUCAACUGUGUCGACCCACAACAACAAAAGGCCAUUCUGGUCAAUUAUAAGUAUUAUUGCUACUACUAGUCUCUAUGUCAUCAUCUAUGUGAUAUGGUUCAAUUAGAAUUCUUUGUAGAUGGCGAUUGAAUACAAUAACAAGUAUAUAAGAAAAGUAUGCAACUACUAAUGUCUAUUAUGAAGAAUAAGUAAUACAAUAUCUAAGUUAUCGUGAAUAAAGAUGUGUGAGCUCCUCUACUAUGUGAAUCCCAUGAAUAAACGAAUAAUCAAAGAGGGGGUGAAGAAGAUAGAAUCGAGUCACUAGGGGUUUCGCUAAACCUAUUUCGUAUUGAAGCACCUACCUAUGCAUAGUACCAUGAGUCCUUAAUCCAACCACGAUCCACUAGGUGCCACCCGGGCUCCUAUUCACUAGUUAAAGAAGUGACCAUUAAGGACAUAAAUAGAACCUAUACGUCACAAUCAACCCGUACAAAUAUUAUGACCAAUAUAUUAAGUUGGAACAUUAUUUUUGCCAACCGAUGCUUGAAACUGAUACAUCAGUUACCAAACUAUUGACUUAUCAUCAAUUCAGACCUAUAAAGUUUCGAACUUGCCAUUGGAGGUGUCAGAACAAGGAUCUUGAGUUAGUGCUUGACUAUGAAAGAGUUAGGCCAUCACGCUCGUUUGUGUCAAAACCGAUAACACAAGUUGUGCACCGCCGAAACACGUGAAACAACACCAAACAGCAUGUUUGAAACAUUUACAAUACAAUUGGAAUAUGACACGACCAUUUACAAGGUGUUCAACAUGUUUAUUCCACUAAUCGAUUUCCAAAUUGACUCCGAACAUAGUCCCACUCAUCAAACCGUCACUUUAGCCCCUUGGGUCCUGAGACCCAAUUUUUGGCGUCGAGAUAGGAACUGUAACAUAGCAAAUUCUUCGUAGGCAAGAGAAAUGCUGAAAGUUUUGCAAAGCUUCAACGAUAAUAAAGUUUCUUUCCAAAUAAAGCUUUGGAUUACUAUAUUUACACUACAUCAAAAAAAAGUUUGCAAAAAAAAUUUCAUAAAAAUCAUAGGCAUCUAUACAUUCUUUGCAGGAUAUCAAUAUUUUGAAGCAUUUACAACAAAAGGAAAUGGGAUUACAUACAAAACAAUAAAGUAGCAGAGGUGUACUACUUUUUACGAGCCCUAUUUACCAAAAAACAAAAGACUUGAAAAAUAUAUCACACACAUCUCUAGUCAGGAGUCCCUAGGAGAUCUGUGGUGAGAAAAUAGUGUGCCCUAUCUACCAAGGGUGGUCGACUCUGACUAGAGACAAUAUACGGCAGAUACAGAUAGUCUUUCUUCGCAGGACAUCAAUAACUUAGGAGCAUUUACAACAAAAAGAGAUGGGCCUAUACACAAAACAACAGAGUAGCACACGAGCACUAUUUUUUACAAGCCCUAUUUACCAAAAACCAAAAGCCUUACUUGAAAAUAUGUCACACAUACCUCUAAUGUAGGAGUCCUUCCUUAAUCUUGAUGUUUCUCCACUUAUAUUUAAAAUCGCCAUACUACUUUUGUGAAAAACACCACAAACAUACUCCAAAAUUGCCCUCUAUGGAAUAUUCCCACCAUCCUUCGAAACAAAUCUCUGCAUCCCCUCCUGCAAUAAUAAGAUAACACCCCAGUGUGAUUUUAAAUGCUAAACUAUACAUCAUUCAUUAAAGAGUCUUAUCAGUCUCAUAGCUUUUCUUUUUCCUUUUUUCUUUUCGUAAGCACAAAUUCUAUGCGGUUAGAUAGUGACUCACCAUACUAUAUCACAUAGAAUUUGUAUUUGAAAAAAAAAGGAAAAGAAAAAUGACAGUAGGCACCAAAUAUAGCAUGGAGUUUGUGUUUAAAAAAUAAAAAAUAGCAACAGGUAUCAAAAAAGACCUAUUUUUGCCCUACGAAAAGGGAGAAAGAAUAAGAGACAAGGAAAAAGGAGAAAGGCAAUUCAAAAGAUACAUCAUUACAAGCAACACAAGAAGCAUAAUUUUCAAACAGACAGCCACUCAAUUAAUGCUCGAUUAUGAGGACCAUGGCUAUGAUGCUCGGCCACAUAAGGCUUAGAACCGCACCCAUUUGUGCUCAGAAUCGGAACACAAAUCGAAUACAUAGACCAAAAACAUGGCUACCUAAAUAGCUCCACUACAAAGAAAGGUCGCAUGAUGGCUCGGCCAUUGAGGUUGUGGCCAAUAUGGCAUGACCAUUGAGGCUGCUAAAGUAUGCGGCCACGCCAAGAGCUUGGCCACCAUAGACAACCACAAAGAGGAGCCGCAAGGAUCGACCUUGGGAGGCACGACCAUAUCGGCUGGGAUUGACAUGGAUCGGCCCUAGUCCGGUGCUCCGACGACACCUUGAUAUAGAACGACCCCUGACUGAACCCAGUGUGCGAUAAUAAUAGAACAAACUUAGGCUUCAAGAACUUACCCUCAAAUUUUUCCUCCGAUGACGAUUUGUUGGCUGUAGGGAGCGAAGAAAGUGGCCGAAGAGAGGAAGAAGGCUACAGCUUAGAGUGAGAAGGCAACAAUGGCCUCAAGAGGUGAGGGAAGGCGCAUGCACUAUUAGGAGAACAAGAAAGUAUACAUGACUAUUACGUACCUGACUCUACGCAACCCGUCGAUGAUGAUAAUUCGCUGAGACGAGGAUGGCGUCGAGGAUGAUGGUCUUAACAGAUCAACAUCACAAUGCUUUACCUUAUCCAAACAUGCAUGACAGAUCAAAGAAUAAGAAUGAGAAGAUGAGAUUGAGAAAAGAGAGAGAAGGAUAGAGAGAAUAGAAGGGGAUAUUGAAUCAGAGAAGAGGAGAAGGAAGAAGAUGAGAAUAAUGGGAGAUAACAAUUUCCAUAAUAAUCUGUGAGUUUAGUUACAAUCUGCCUAUUUAUUCCCUUAUACGAUGGACUAAAUUGCAAUUUGCUAAACUGAAUAGUACUAAAAUGAGAAUUGAAAUACAAGAAGGGCUCUAAUUCCGCGUGGGCUGACUUCGAUGGAAUAUGGGCUAAUGUGGCUGGUUCGUUCCAAGAACGCUUGUUACUUGGGUAAUCUGUCAUUGGUUCACUCUUCUCGGCCCAACCCGGAGUCGGCCCGCCCGAUCCACUUGUAUGCGAACAAGCGGGCGCCGGAUCGUCCAUCUCCGCACUAUCCACAGUCUGGCGGUUCUUGGGUUCGCCUUUUCCUCCGCUUCGAAAAUUUGGGACUCCGACCCGAAGCCUAACCCUACUUCGAGCUUCCACUUCCUCCAUUCGCUCCACUUCCUUCACCGCUCCUUGUUUACUCCGCUCGUCGACGAAGCUGAUCACCAUGACCGAUCUCUUCUCCCAGAUUCGAAGCUUCACAAGGAAAAUCUAAGCUCUCCUCUUUCCUCUUCUCUUAUUGACUCUCUUGGUGACUCUGCUCCUACUUCUACCUCUAAUGUUAUUCCUUUUAUUUGUGCAGAUGUAACACUCCCCCUCUCUUAAGCUAAUCCUUGUCCUCAAGGAUCGAAAGAAGGAAAUUGGCUCUUGAGGACUCCGUAAUCCUCCCAAGUCGCGUGCUCUUCGGGAAGAUUCAUCCACUUAACUCGCACUUCUGUCGCAGCUCGGUUACCCCGUUUAACCAUUCUCUUUUCCAAAAUCUUUUCAGGUUCUGUCAGUAAUUCCUCAUUCUCAUCCAAAAUAGGUACGCUCGGAGAAGCUUGGGUUGCUGCUGGAGGGCUUUUCUUUAAGAGUGAUACAUGAAAUACCGGAUGCACCCUCGACCCUUCAGGUAGCUGUAAUUUGUAAGCAACUGGUUCGAUGCACUCUAAAAUUUGGAAAGGUCCGUAAAAUUUUGCAGUAAGCUUUAUGUUCUUCCUUAUAGCCACCGUGAUUUGCCUAUAUGGCUGUAACUUGAGGUACACCCAAUCUCCCACUUCAUAUUCCUUCUCUUUCCUGUGUUGAUCUACCUGUUGCUUCAUCCUACUUUGAGCUAAUUGUAAAUGACCCCGCAACUCGUGAGUAGAUUUUUCCUUCCUUCAGCUCACUCCUUAAUUGCCGGAGAAUUAGCCGAGUCCAAUGCAGUCGUCAGAUAGUUCGGAGGGGGGUAUCCAUAUAACGCUUCAUAUGGGGUCAUACCUAUUGAAGAGUGAAAAUUGAUUUUGUACCACCAUUCUGCUAGGGCUAGCCAGGAAUGCCAUUUCUUUGGAUGCUAGAAACACAAACAUCGUAAAUAUGUUUCGAGGCAUUUGUUAACUCUUUCAGUUUAACCGUCAGUUUCCGGAUGAUAAGCUGAACUCAUAAGUAACUUAGUUCCCAUAGAUUGGAAGAGCUCUUUCUAGAAUUGACUGAUAAAUAUCUUAUCUUGAUUUGAAACUAUACUCUUUGGGCACCCAUGCAGUUUACAAAUUGUUUUCAUAAAUACCUUCGCUACUUCAGGGGCUGAAAAAGGGUGUUUUAACAACAUAAAAUGAGCGUAUUUCGUAAGUCUAUCUACCAUAACCAUAAUUGUAUCCCGUCUUUCGAACCUCGGUAGUGAUUCAAUAAAAUCCAUAUUCACAUCCUCCCAAACUUGGUGUGGUAUAGGUAAAGGCUGCAGCAAGCCUGCGUAGGGCGUUCCAUCCACCUUGUUCUGAGCACAUAUGGUACAUCCUUUUACCCACUCCUCCAUUUCUCUCUUUAACCCCUGCCAGUAGAAAUAUUGUUUGACUCUUCGGUAAGUGUUCUGUAUCCCAGAAUGACCUCCCAAAGCGGAGUUAUGCAUCUGGUCGAGAAUUCUUUUCCUUAGUGGUCCUGUUCCCCCAAUGUACAGUUUCCCAUUAUAUCGCAGUAGCUCAUGGCUAUAUGAGUAACCCUCAUGGAGGUCUGACUGUAAUGCUAACUCACCUAUCAUUUUCUCGCAAUGGGGAUCCCCUUUAUAGCUCUCCGACACCUCUCGAACCCACGUUGGUAUAGCUGCUGUUAUAGCUAGCGUACUGCCCUCUUCUCUAACUAUCCUUGAUAAUGCAUCUCUUUUUAUACUGAAUUGUGUAGUUAAGGCCCAUUAACUUCAUCAUACCCUUUUGUUGCAUUGGAGUCAAUAUUCGUUGUUCCAAAAGAUGUUUUAAACUUUCAUGAUCCAUCUUGAUUAUGAAGGUGCUCAUGCUUAAGUAAUGUUUCCAUUUUUGCACGGCCAUAAGUAUAGCUAGAAAUUCCUUUUCAUACGUUGACAACCCACUAUGUUUCCCCCCGAUCGCCUUACUUAAGUAAGCGAUUAGUUUCCCUUCUUGGGACAUUACAGCUCCGAUUUCCGUGUCACAUGCAUCAACCUCUAUGGUAAAAAGUAGAUCAAAGUUGGGCAUAGCUAACACCGGAGCCUUAGUCAUGGCUGUCUUCAACCCUUCAAAUGCUAGUUGGGCGUCGUCGUUCCACCAGAAUUGAUCCUUUUUUAGUUGUUCAGUCAAGGGCUUACUAAGCUGUCCAUAUCCUUUAAUAAAUUUUCGGUAGUAACCCGUUAGUCCUAAAAAUUCUCGAAGCUCCUUAACAGAUUUGGGUGCUGGCCACUGGACCAUAGCUUCAAUUUUGGUUGGAUCUGUGGCGACUCCCUUGGCGGAAAUAAUAUGGCCCAAAUACUCCACCUUGUCUUGCCCAAAACAGUACUUACUCCUCUUUGCAUAUAACUGAUUUUUUCGCAAUUCCUCUAAUGUAAGUUGUAAGUGUUUCACAUGAUCCUCCAAACCUUUACUAUAGAUCAAAAUGUCAUAAAAAAAUACCAACAAAAAAUUUCGUAAGUAAGGUUCGAACGUACAGUUCAUGAUAGCUUGGAAGGUGGCAGGUGCGUUGGUGAGGCCAAAUGGCAUAACCUUAAACUUAUAAUGCCCUUGGUGAGUUUGGAACGCUGUUUUCAGGAUAUCAGCUGGAUCCAUUCUGAUUUGAUGAUAACCAGAUCGUAGGACUAUCUUGGAGAAGUAUUUCGAGGCUCCCAAUUCGUCUAAUAAGUCAUCGAUGAUGGGUAUAGGGAACUUGUCCUUGACGGUAGUUUUAUUAAGCUGCCGGUAGUCAAUGCAAAUCCUCCAACUUCCGUCUUUCUUCUUUACCAACAAGGCCGAUGAGGCGAAUGGGCUGUUGCUACGUUGUAUUAUGGAGUUGUUCAAUAGCUCUCUUAUCUGCCUUUCGAUCUCUUCCUUUUGUUCAUAUGAGUAUCUAUAUGGCCUAACAUUAAUUGGAGUGGUGUGAGAUUAUAACAGGAUUUUGUGAUCUUGGCUGUGAGGUGGUGGUAACCCUGUCGGCUCCUCAAAGAUAUCUAGAUAUUGGUCUAACACUUGCUGGAUGCAAGGGUGAAUGCUUGCUUCUGGCCUGGAUUGUUCGGGUAUCAUUUGAUGACUUAAAAAGUAGCAUUCUUCUGUCUCCAUCUCCUGACUCCUGCUACAGUAAUGAGUUUUAGCUUCGCUCCUUCUUCAAUUCCUUUCAACUCUAGCACCUGUCCCUCUUUGGUAAUGGUGACUGAAUUAGAUAAGAAGUCGAAGGUUACCUUCCCGUAGGAUUUGAGCCAAUCAAUACCUAACACGAUGCUUGAACCCUCCAACCUGAUAACUCUUAAAUCAGCCGAAAAUGCAUGACCGUGCAUGGUCCAAGAGAACUCUGGACAUUGAAGCUUACUUAGCACUUUAUGCCCAUUCGCAACUGUCACUACCAAGGGUGCGGCUGUCAUCAUUUUUGCUCUCACAUCCUUAGCCACUUGCAGGUCAAUGAAGCUAUGUGUGCUCCCAGUGUCUAUUAGGAUAGUAGUGGGUCUACUUUUUGCUUCGCGCUUUAUCUUGAUAGUAUCUUGAGGCUUCUCUCCGCUUAAGGCAUGAACUGAAACUCCAAUUUCCUGCAGCUCCCCUACCUCAGGAAUUAUUUCUGCUUCUUGUUCUUCUCUUGAAUCUACUCCUUUAUCCGAUUCUUCGUGUAGGCAGCGUUCAUCAUAAAUUUUCGCGACUUCAUCCAUAGUCUGCAUGGUAUGUAGGGUUCUAUUGGCACAAACAUGCCCCAGAUGGUACUUAUCUCCACAUCGAAAACACAAUCCAGCAACUCUCCUCUGAUCCAUCAGCUGCUUGUUAAUCGGGGUUUGGUUCGUAGGAUUCUUUUGUAAGGCCGAGUACUGAGGUUUGGUACCGUCAUUGGGUUUGCUGGCAGUGUUCCUAUACAAGGAAUUUGAUUGAUAUUGUACUCCUGAUGUCUUAGGAUUGUAUUUGUUCCUUCGAUUAAGGGCAACAAGGGCCUUUUCAUGUAGUUGAGCUUGCUCGUAUGUUUCUUCCAAUGAACACGGUGCGCGAUGUCUAGGAAUGGAAUUAAUCCCUCCUUUAAGCCAUUAAUGUAGCAUGCGAUAAAGUACUCUACGGUCAGGUGUGGAUUGUAAUAGAGUAGUUGGAAUCUCAAUUCCUCAAACCUUUCUUGGUACGUUUCACAUUCCCCUGUGUGCCUUAAAUUACAAAACUCCCGCACUACAACAAAAACGGUCUAUAGCGAUACUUUUAAAUGUAGGUACAUGUCAAAAAAGUGCUACUAGCUAAAAUUACCGACACUUUUAAAAAGUGUUGCUAUAUGUGGGGUCGCUAGGUAUAUAGUGACAGUUAAAGAGUGUCGCUAUAACCUAAAAGAGUGCUGCUAAUUUACCAACACUUAUUUAAGCAUUUAAAAACCGUCGAAACUCUAUCUCGUUGGCUGCGGUGGCGGAGGAGGACGACAGGAAAGGUUUUUGUCUAGAAUUUCAGUGGAUUGAGUGAAGAAAGAAGAAAAGAUAGUAAUUGAUUUUUCUUUUUUUUUCUUUUCUGUUUGUAAUCGAGCCAAAUGGACUGGAUGUGGUGGGUUGAGUAGAGUAAUCUUUUAUUUUUGGUUGGAUUGGGCUUUAUAUUUAGGCAUUAGUAGAUAUUUUUUUAAGUUUUAGCAUAAAUGGGACACUUACUCAAAAGUGUCCCAAACAUGUGUCCCUAUAACCUAAUUCUGUUGUAGUGCCGGAUUAAGUAUCUCUCGCCCAUUUGUGAAAAUCUUCUACAUACGGCCUCGGUAAACUCGUCCCACGAAAUGAGUUGUUUGUUAAUGAAAUACCCUUGUUUCCAUGUCCUUGCCUUACCAAUCAAAUGCAUAGUUGCCACACUUAACCACUGAUGCUGAGGUAUUUGAUAUAACUCAAAGUAUUGCUCGCAAUUUUCAAUCCAACUUCGAGGGUCUUCACCGUAAAAAAAGAGAAAAAUCCAGUUUCGGGUAAGGUAAUUGAUGAUGGUUAUGCUUGUUGAUCCAUGGUGAGUUAUGAUUCUCCUCAUCUUUUGUUUGUCUCAUUAGCGUUGGUAGAAUUCCUUUGCCUUUAUCCGCUCUGAUCGUUAUUGGCGUUCUACUGUUCCCAGGGUUACCGCAUUGUGGAAAUUUACCUUCAAGAGGGUUUGCCAUGUCUUGGCUCUUGAGUGGAGGUGGCUGAGCUGCUAACAGCUUGAGCAGCUCCUCAUGCCGUUUGGUUGCUUCAAUCUGUAAUGCUUCAUAUUGCCUCUGCCCGGUCUCUUUUACUUCAGCAAUCUGAUGGUUGAGUACUGCUAUCUCUACUUGAUGCUCGAUUUCCAAUUUUUGGAACUUCUCUUCUAAUGUACGAAUGUGAUCACUAAGAUCUCUCAAUCUAGUUCCCUCGGCCAUUUCUAUCUCUUCUAAAUAUUCCUUUGGAUUAAAUUUAAACUUAUUGCCUCGUUUGCCCCCAAUCUUGACGCUCAGAAAAAUAUACUUUUUCACGAGAACUGAACCUCAGUUUGAAUGACCAGUUGACCUGUUGUUUGCUUAAGAUCUGAAGAUGAUUGAGUGUAUUCUGAGCAUGAUUCGAUUCAGGGUUGUUACUGUGGUGAUUUCUUUUGUCCAAACCCAAUCUCGAAACAGGUUUGGCAGCGCAGAAAUCUACUCGCGAUUAAACUCGACAAUGCUCGAUUGGAGUUAGGAAGCGAUUUCACCACACAACGCCCUGGGAUCGGACCGCUCUGAUACAAAUUGUUAUGUACCUGACUCUACGCAACCCGUCGAUGAUGAUAAUUCGCUGAGACGAGGAUGGCGUCGAGGAUGAUGGUCUUAACAGAUCAACAUCACAAUGCUUUACCUUAUCCAAACAUGCAUGACGGAUCAAAGAAUAAGAAUGAGAAGAUGAGAUUUAGAAAAGAGAGAGAAGGAUAGAGAGAAUAGAAAGGGAUAUUGAAGCAGAGAAGAGGAGAAGAAAGAAGAUGAGAAUAAAGGGAGAUAACAAUUUCCAUAAUAAUCUGUGAGUUCAGUUACAAUCUGCCUAUUUAUUCCCUUAUGCGAUGGACUAAAUUGUAAUUUGCUAAAUUGAAUAGUACUAAAAUGAGAAUUGAAAUACAAGAAGGUCUUUGAUUCCGCGUGGGCCAACUUCGAUGGAAUAUGGGGCAAUGUGGCUGGUUCGUUCCAAGAACGCUUGCUACUUGGCAAUCGGUCAUUGGUUCACUCUUCUCGGCCCAACCUGCGAGUCAGCCCGCCCGAUCCACCUGUAUGCGGGCAAGCAGGCGCCGGAUCGUCCAUCUCCGCACUAUCCACAGUCCGGCGGUUCUUGGGUUCACCUUUUCCUCUACUCCGAAAAUUUGGGACUCCGACCCGAAGCCUAACCCUGCUUCGAGCUUCCAUUUCCUCCAGUCGCUCCACUUCCUUCAUCGCUCUUUGUUUACUCCGCUCGUCGACGAAGCUGAUCACCAUGACCGAUCUCUCCUCCCAAAUCCAAAGCUUCACAAGGAAAAGCUAAGCUCUCCUCUUUCCUCUUCUCUUAUUGACUCUCUUACUGACUUUGCUCCUACUUCUACCUCUAAUGUUAUUCCUUUUAUUUGUGCAGAUGUAAUAAUGACCAAGAUGGCCACUGACCAAAAAGGUGGUCGCACGACUAUAGAUAGCAGCAUUAAUUAGUGGAUUGAGAGAGUGAGUAAUUAAGAUUGGGAAAAGAAGAAGCUCUAGAAGUCGGAGUUGACAGCGACAGCCGAGAGUGAAAGAAAGAGAGAGAGAGAGAAAGAGAAAGGGGAAACCCUAGAAUUCAUAUUUUCCUAUCACACUUGUGCUCCUACACUAGAGAGAGAACCCUAGGGUUCAAUUUGCUUAUCGCACCUAAGCCCUUGUACUUUUUUAUUUUCUCAAUCUCAGCCUUUUUCCAUACUAAUUUCUGAAAAAAUUACACGUAAGUCCCUUAAAUGUGUAGAAUUUAUCUCUCUCAGAUAAAAUGUAGCAAUUUUGUACAUAAGUCUUCAUAAUUUUAAAAUUAAAACCUUGGUUAUUACAUCAAUACCCCCUUCAAAGAAAGUUUCGUCCUCGAAACUUGAUUACAUUUAAACUAAAUCCAAAAAUAUGUUUGGAUAUUGCUCCCGCAUCAUAGACUCUAGCUCCUAAGUAGCUUUGCACUCCUCAUGAUUCUUCCCUUGCAACGAAAUACUACAAUUUUGUAUUUGCCUCUCUUGGCAUGCCAAAAUCCUCAUCGGGGUCUCUUCAUAGGUCAAAGGUAGCUUUGUGAACCUCAAUCCUGUUAAUUACAUAUGUCGCGAAAUGUUUCUCUAGAGCAUCAAAAUAUGGAAGGCGUUGUGAACACACUCCAAACUUAGGGAAAGUGCAUGCUAGUAUGCCAUUCGGCCAAUCCUCUCCAAGAGCUCAAAUGAUCCAAUAUACUGUGAGCUCAAAUGAUCCAGUAUGCCAUUAGGCCAAGCCUCUCCAAGAACUCAAAUGAUCCAAUAUAUUGUGUGCUCAACUUGCCUUUGAGCGCAAACCUUUUGAUAUCCUUGGAUAGCGGUACCUUAAGAAACUUAUGGUCACCUACUUGAAACUCUAAAUCACAGUGCUGCUGGUCGACAUAACUCUUCUAUUAGUUCUAGGGAAUCAAGAGUUACUGUCAUGCAAUCCUGAUCUUUUGCUCAGUGUCCUUAACCAAUUCCUGCACGAGAAUCAUCCUUUCACCCACGCCGUCCCAACAUAUAGGCUAUUGGCACUUCUGUCCAUGCAAGGCCUCAUAGGCACCAUCCUUAGUUGGAUUGAAAGUUUUUAUUGUAAGCAAACUUCAUGAGCGCCAAGUACUUAUACCACCCGACUCCAUAGUCAAGUACAUAGGCUUAAAGCAUAUCCUUAAGAAUAUGAUUCAUUUGCUAUAUUUAGCCAUCAUUCUGCAGGUGAAACACUGAACUGAAGUUGAGUCGAAUGCCGAGAAUCUUACGCAGAUUCUUCCAAAAUUAUGGCACAAACUAUGGGUACCUGUCUGAUAUAAUUGACACUAAUUAUUAAUAUUUCAUGGAAUCUCACAAUCUCAUCAAUGUAAAGUGACACAAGCCUAUCUCUCGCCUACGUCAUAUGAAUCAGUAUAAAUUAGGUAGAUUCAUUAGUCGAUCCAUGAUCACUCAUAUAGCAUCAUGUCCUUCUGUGAUCUGCCAAGAUUGUAAUGAAAUCCAUGGAGAUCUGCUCUUAUUUUCACACCAGCACUGGUAGGUUCUAUAGUUUCCUUGCCAGUUGUUGAUGUUCGAUCUUCACUUACUGGUACACCAAACACUAAGCGACAUAUUCAGCCACGUCACCCUUCAUAACAGGCUACUAUAAUAGUGUUGCUUCCUAAUACAUCUUAAUACUACCUGAAUGAAUAUUAUAGGCAAUCGGUGUGCCUCUAUCAUAAUCUUUCCUUUUACCUAGAGAUUGUUGGGUACCCAAGAUCGAUCGCGAAAUCGCUGUGUUAGUUAAUUUGCGAAUUAUUCGCAAAUUUUUGAGAAAAUGAAUUAAACUGCCAUUCGUAUUUUUUCGAAAAAUUUGGAAAAAAAAUGUGUUUUUUUAGGAAAAAAUACUUAUUCGUGAAUUAUUCGUGAUUCGCGAAUUAUUCGCCCAAAAAAAGGGGCCCUUGGGGCCGCGCCCGGGCCCGUGCUCGCGCCCGCGCCCGGGCCUAAGCUCGCGCCUGCUCCUUGGCCCGCACCCGCACCCCGGCCCGCGCUCGCGCCUACGCCCUGGCCCACACCCGCGCCCUGGCCCGCGCUUGCUCUCGAGCUCGCUUCCGCGCCCUGGCCCGCGCUCGCUUCCGCGCUUGCGAUUGCGGCCCGCCCAAAACAGAGAAAGUGAUCGCCAACAAGCAAGUGCGAUAAAAAAAAAACCUUUCCAAAAUCCAAACCUCGCACCAAAAAAAAAAAAUCUUUUCAAAACGUUCGCUCCUCCUCCCCCCCCCCUCUAAAAAAUAUCACUCGAUCAAAAAAUUUAUCUUUAUUUACUUAAUUUAUUAUUUAUUUUGAGGUAUAAAUAGUUUGUAUUUUUUUUUUACUUACAUUAGCUAAUGUUAUUCAUAAGAAAUAUGAGUAUUUAUGCUAAUAGCAUAAAUUUUGAGAGAAAAAAAACUUAAUUUAAUAGCCGAAUUUUUUAUCCCGAAUUUUUAAUUGAUGAACGUAUAAUAUCGGUAUAAAUCACGUAUCCAAAUAAUUGGUAAAUCCAUUUUUUAGCCGUAUUUUUCAACGAAUUUAAAAAUUAGAAGAAAGAAUUUUAUCUGAAUUAUACCCGUACCGAAUUUUUGCCGAAUCCGAAUUAACUAAUUAUGCGAAAUCGUAAAGCACCAUUGGGAUGCACACUGAAGUCGCUCGAUCUCUUUUCUAUCCUCAAUCUUACCUCAAUCCUUCAGCCUCAAUCGACGCAUCUCCUCUAGUAAGUGAGACUGCUCGGUGGCUAUCAAAGUAAGGUUCGUGGAGGAAUGCUUCUGGCGCAACGUACACGUCGGCCACGAUUUGGCUUUUUCCAUGUGGCAAAGUUAAUUUUUAAUGAAUUUUAAAAUUAAAUAUUUAAUUUAGAUUAACAUUGUAACUUUAAAUUCAAUUUUGAAUUCAGAUUUAAAUUUUAUACUUAAAUUUUAAAUUUAAAUUUAAAUUUCAAAUUCAAAUUUUAAUUUUUAAUUUUAAAUUCCAAAUAAAAAAAUAUUAAUUUGAAUUCAAUUUUUAAAUUCAAUUUAGAUUUAAAAUUAAUUUCUAAAUUCAAAUUUUAAUUUUUAAUUUUUAAAUUAUUAUCAAAAAUUAUUAGUGGGACCACUAAAUUAAAUUUAUUUAAAUAUACUUUAUACUAGUUUAUAAUAAUUUAAUAAAAUUUUUACUAAAUAACUUUCUAUAAUAGACAUUACUUUUAACAAAAAUAACCAAACGCCCUUUAACAUUUUUUUUAAAACACCAUAUAUUAUUAUCUAUUAAAUUAUCUAUUAAACUAUAUGAAAACUCAAUGUUUAAGCUGAUUUGGCAUACUCUCCUUAUUUUAGAGAGAGGAUUUAACUUUCAUUACUUUGUCUUUUCAUUAAAGCUCAAUACUUAAAUGACAUGUCAUGCAUAGCUAAUUUUGAGGAAGCAGUUCACACUUAAAAAACCGUACACAACCCUUCACCUUCUCUCCACCGUCCCAAUUAAUGUAUCUACGGUCCCAAUACAAUUACAACCGUUGCUUCUCUAUCUCCAUAGCGCCCCUCCCCUAUCUCCUCUCGUUUUUUCUUUUCUUUUUUCUCUCCUCUAUCAACAUCAAUUUUCUCCCUUACCUUCUCCUGUGCACUAUGGUAUCCCCUCUAUCUCUCUCGAGCUAAUGGCCCCCAUUAGACAGUGAGGGUUUCAUAGUCCUAGUACUCCUUGGGUUAGUAGACGUUGAGGUCGGUGUAGAUGCGGGCCUUGGAGGUGGCGUUAGGGCGGCGCACGAACUUGCCGAUGCACUCGGCCAUAGCGUCGGCGACGAAGGCGAUGGCCGGGAAAGGGCGAGUGACGGCAGUGGCAACAACGGUGAUAGAGAUCCAGCGGAGAGGGGAAAGGAGGGGACAUUGCUCCUGAGUUCUCCAUCGUUCGCAUUAGAAAGCAGGCGAUUGUCCCCUUCUACUCAACAUAAAAAUUCUUUCUUUUUUUUCCCUUUCUUAAGAAAAAGUUAUUAAAUUUGUGACUAUAAAGAUUCAUAGUUUUAGUCCAGCUCACAAAUUAUUCCAUAUUUGAAUUUCUAAUUUAGUUUUAAAUUAAAAUUGAAGCUUUAAGUUCAAAUUUAGAGUUUAAGUUUUAAAUUUUGAAUUUGAAUUUAAUAUCUCAAUUCAAAUUAAAAUUUAAAUUAUGAAAUUUAUUUUAGGUGUGUGAAUUCUCAUUAAAUAAUCUAAUUUUAUAUACUAUUCUAUAACAAUCAAAUAUUGGAUUGGAUUGUUGUUUGUCCAAUCCAAUCCUAAUCGCAAUCGUAUCCAAUGUUUCUGUGCUAUCCUAUCUAGUUCAAUAUUAAAUACCAAGCAUGCCAUAAGCGAAUGAUUUGUAAUGAUUCAAAGCGAAUGAUAUAAGCCCUUUGAUUUGAAGAAGGGGAUUUAAAGUCUAAGAAUUUGAAUGCAAAAAAAAAUUGUAGAUUGUAAUAUACAUAAAUAAAUUUAAUUAAUUUUUAGUCUCUUUAAUUUAUAUAUUAUAUUAUUUUUUCCUCACCAUGAUAAAUAUAUUUUGGCCCAUAUAUUUAGUUAAUAUAAAGUUGAGCUUUUCAAGUUUCUUGCCUAUACUGAGUAAGAAAGCAGAUAAUGAAAUUGUUUUGAUUAAUUAUUGUAUAUAUUAAUUUACUUGAUUUAUGCCGAUUAGUGACUUCUUUACUACAAAAUUUGAAUGCUUUCUCUUUACAGGUUUAACUUAUACUAGUGUAAGAACCGCACGAUGCGGCGAGUAGAUUCUAUAGCAGUAAACUAAUAUAUACAAUAAUUAAUCAAAACAAUUUCAUUAUCNUAAUUUAUAUAUUAUAUUAUUUUUUCCUCACCAUGGUAAAUAUAUUUUGGCCCAUAUAUUUAGUUAAUAUAAAGUCGAGCUUUUCACUAUCAUUUUUAUAUAUUGGAAGAAUAUAAUUUUCAAGUUUUUUGCCUAUACCGAGUAUGAAACCCGAUAAUGAAAUCGUUUUGAUUAAUUAUUAUAUAUAUUAGUUUACUGCUAUAGAAUCAACUUGCCGCAUCGCGAGGUUUCUACACUAGUGCUAUUUAUUUCAGUACUUUUUCAAUGGCACUACUUCCACAUUUAGGCCAAACAAGCUCAUAGUGUCAUUUUUGGAUAGAAAAACUUCAUUAUUCACACAUAAUAUCACACUAAUUAAAAUUAAUUAAGUAUAGCUAGAGGCUGAUUGAUCCAAUACUUUUGGUCAAAUUAUAUUACAGUGAUGGUUCUAUCAGAUGUAGAGACCUCUCAAAUUGGUGGAUUGGAUAAACCGCGUGAAUUAUUAUAUCUGCAGGUUACAUUGGCAUGGAUAAAUUUUAUUCGUAAAUUUUUUGAUAACCAAAAUCUUUACUCGUAGGAUCUGUCAGUCAUCCGCAAGAUUUUUUUUUUCUUUUUUACCUAUAUACUUUCAAAAGUAAAAAUAUAUAUACAUAAUUUUAAAAGAACAUAAUAUAACUUGCAUUUGAAAUAUCACAAAAUACAAUAAAUAAUAUAAAAUUUUAAAACACAUUAGUUAUAUAAUGUAAAAAUAUGUUAUUAUUCUAAAUUUUUGUGAUACAAAAUUAGUAUAGUUUUCAUUUACAAUGACUAUAAAUGAGCACUCCGUGUUCCGAUAUAGGCUAGGCUGCUGGAGGAUGGUGAUCAUACUACAACAAAAACGGUAUAUAGCAAUAUUUUUAAAUAUCAGUACAGAUCAAGAAAAAUGAUGUUGCCUAAAUUAUCGACACUUUCUAAAAGUGUUGCUAUAUGUAGGGUCGUUAUAUGUGGGAUCGCCUCGAUGUUUGGCACCCAUUCCUCCAGCAACCUGUGACGGAUUGACACGUGGUGAUCGUAACCCUUUACGGUCCUUGCAAGAUCCUUGCGGUCGAACUCCAGCCGCCGGAACCCCAUCUUGUUGGCUGCGACGGUGGAGGAGGAGAAGGGGAGAUGGUGAUCAAUUUUUCUUUAUUUUUUCCUUUUCUAUUUGUAAUCGGGCCGAGUGGACUGGGUGAGGUUGUUUGAGUAGAAGAACUUUUUAUUUUUUGGUUGGAUUGAGUUUUAUUUUUAGGCGUUAGUAGAUUUUUUUAAAAAAUUUUAGUAUAAAUGUGACACUUACACAAAAAUGUCUCAGAAAAUGUCUCUAUAAUCUAAUUUUGUUGUAGUGUGUGCGGUGCGGGGGAAGAGGCAAAGCGGAGGAGAGGUGGUCAGAGCAAUUAGAAAAAAAAGAUAUGGAAAGAAACUAGGAUUAGAAUGGUUAGAAAUGAAUAAACAAAAAAAAUAUUUUUUAAUUAAAAAAAUAUAUGCGGGUGUUUGUGGGUAUCCGUGAGUUGCUCAAAUUAUUCAUAAUUUAAUAGAUACCCACCCAUUUUAUCUAUAAUUUUCUAAGUAAGAAAAAAUAGUGCACAUAUUCGCAACUUUGCGGGUAACCUGUAGGUACCUACGGGAUCCGAUAGAGAUUGUCAAGUCUAAUUAGAUGAGACAUUUUUUAUAUAAUUUAUUUGUAAGUAUGAUAUUGGCAAUUUUAAAAAGAUAUAUAGUUGUAAUAUUUUGUAACUUUUGAGCGACACUGUUGAAAUUGUUCCAAACAAUAAAUUUGAGAAAUUAUAUUUGGUCUAUUAAUUGUUGAGAGAGUCUCCAUACUUUUUUUCUUUAUUUUUUUUUAUGAUCCACGUUAUACGGAACAUGCAUGCAUAUAUAUUUCCAGUGCCAUGCACGUUGCAUUUAAGGAGUGCACUUUGGUCCACGUUUACGUUUGAACCUGCUCAACCACCUCAGCGUUGAAAUGUUGCUUUCGAGCAAGGCCCGCUAAUAUAUUUAAGGGAAAACUUCAAAACAUCCCCUGUAGUUUCGUAGUUUUUCACUUUACUUUUCUAUUGUUUAAAAUAUAUCAAAUUACUCCCAUGUAGUUUCGUUUUUAUCUUUUCGAUAACUUUUUCGUUAAUAUUUCAUUAAAUUAUAUACAAAAAACUUCAGAUAUCCAUCUAGAUUUAUCAAAUAUUCACUUUAGUACCCUUUAAAUUAACUUUAUUAAUGAUUUAAGAAAAAAAAAUAAUGAAAUUGAUAAGAAAAAGAGAAAAAAGAAACCACAGAGGAGCAAAUUGAUACAUUUUAAAUCACAGGGGGGUAAAGUGAGAAACUAUGAAACCACAGGGGUUUUUUUUUAAGUUUUCCCUAUAUUUAAAGCUCACAAGAAGGCAAAAUAGAAUAUUUUUUUAGUGCAAAAAUGCACGGAAACACCUCUAACUAUUCAAAAUGUUAUUUUCAAAUCGAAUAAUUUGAGAAAAACUUUAAAAGGAAUGUUACCGGUGCACUCUAAAAUGAGAUAUAUUUCUUAUACUCACUUUAUUUAAGAGCUAUUAAUUUUUCAUUUGUCAUAUCAAUUUUUCUUUUUUUUUUUACUGUCCUAAGAUGAGAAGUGUUAGAUUACAUUCACUUUUUGGACAGGACAAGUAUUUAGGGUUAAUUGCACUGUUGUCCCUAACAUUUGCCACGUUGUUUUCACUUUUUUGAUCUUCUUGCUUUUUUUUAUAAUCAAAUCUCCAGCCUCGUCUUUGCAUUGCAAUUAAAUUCAAACUAUUAAAAAAUCUUUUAAGGCUUCGUUUGGGAUUACGAAAAGAUUACGUUACAUACAGUGAGAAAGUACGAUGAAAAAAUAUACACGAUGAGUCGGUUAUGAUAUAUUUUUUGCGAUCUCAUUGGAGAACGCAGAAACAUAUCCCUAUAUGUUUUUUUUCUAACUCCAUUUUAUCUAACAGUAUCAGAUAGACCUGAAUACCAAACUAAACCUAACCGCCAUGUCAGUGCUUCGUUAGUACUUGGGCCUAAAGAAAAAAAAACGAAAAAGUUAAGGACCAAUGCUGCAAUUAAAGUUAAAAUUAAGAUUUUAACUAAAAAACUAAAAUUAAAUUUUGAAUUUGAAUUAAAAGCAUUAAGUUUGAUUUGAACAUAAAUUUGAAAUUUGAAUUGGAAUUCAAAAUUUGAAUUUGACUUUGAAAUUGAAUUUAAAUAUUGAUAUCAAAUAUUGAAAUUUAGUUUUGAUAUCUUGAAUCAAUACUGGACUCUAAAUUUGAAUUCGAACUCAAAAUUUAAAUUUAUAUUCAAAUUUCAAUCCAUGAAAUUUAAAAUUUAAAUUUAGACUACAAGUUCAAUUAAAUUUCUAAGUUUCGAAUUUAUAUUUUGACCUUAUAUUUGAUUUUAAAAUUGAAUUCUGAUGCUGAAUUUGAUUUUCAAAUUUAAAUUUAAUUUUGGGUUAAACUUUUAAAUUUAAAUUCUAAUUUAUUGAAUUUAAGUUUUAAAUUUGAAUUCAAUUUCGAAUUCAAAUUAAGAUUUUGUACUUAAAUUUAAAUUUAUAUUUAGAUUUUGAAUAUAAUUACAAAUUUAAUUUCAAACUUAGAUUUUGAAUUUUAUAUUCAAAAUGUGAUUUCGAAUUCAAAUUUAGAUUAGAAAUCAAAUAUCAAAUUCAAAUUCAAAAUUUGGAUUGAAAUUUAAAAAUUAAAUUCAAAUAUUGUAUUAGAUUGCAUAUUAAAAUUUGUAUUUUGAAUUCAAAUUUUAAUUUUAAUUUUAAAUUUUGAUUUGGUAUUCAAAUUUCAAUCCAAAUUUACAUUCAGAUUUUAAACUUAAUCUUUUAAAUUCAAAUUCAAAAUUAGCAAAAUCUAAAUUUUAAUUUCAAAUUCAGAUUUGGAAUUCAAAUUUCAAUUUAAAUUUACAUUCAGUUUUUAAACUUAAUAUUUUAAAUUCUAAUUCUAGUUCGAAUUUUGAAUUUAAAAUUUUGAAGUGUAAUUCAGAUUUUGAAUUCAAAGUAAAAAUCAAAUUUACAUUUUAAAAUUAAAUUUAGAUUUUGACUUUGAAUUCAAAUUUAGGAUAAGUUUGGUUCAAAAUAGUAAUAAGAAAUAUUAAUUUAAAGGUGCAAUUUCCUUGUUAGGAGUGGGAAUGAAUCCGAAUCGAAAACGGAGCGAGGAAAACUUAAUUUGUUUGGUUCAUAAGAAGAACAGGAAUCAGAAUCAUGUUCAAAUUAAAAUUUAAAAAACUGAAUUUUAAUUAAUUUUUAAAUUCACUAUUUAGAUUCAUAACAAAAUUUAAAUCAAAAUUUGACAAUUAGAAUUUAAAUUUAAAUUUAGAACUAAAUUCAAAUAUCAAACUUAUAUUAGAAUUUAAACUUGAACAUAAGAAAUUAAAAAUUAAAUUUUGAAUCUGUAAUUCCAUUCAAAUAUAUAAAAAAUUGUUAGUGAAAAGAAGAUUUUUUUUUUUUUUUCCUCAAUCCUUUCUGGAGCAAAAGUUGAGUUCCAUCUUCUUGGGGGGAAUCAUCUUGGCAGAUUCGAUUUCUCUCAGAAUAAUAAUCAGAAUAUCAAUGGCUAAAACCAAAGUUACCAAAGAACAAUAUAUAAUAGGAAUAAAUCAUUGGACUUUUUUUUAUAAAUUAACCCUCUAGAAUUUUAAAAUUUGCAAAAUAAUUUUUUCAAAAUUAUAUUUGUAAGAAUAACCCUCAUUUCGCCACUUAGGCGUCAGGGCAGAUGUUUCUUAUGAAGACGGUGAAUGGUUUACCGUAUUCAGUAAAAUACGGUGAACCAUUCACCGUUUUCAUUAAUUAUAUUAGUAAGACGGUGAAUCGUUCACUGUCUUAUUAAAGAUGGUAAAUGAUUUACCGCCGUCAUAAAAAAAAUCACCCCUACGCCUACGUGGCAAAAUGAGGGUUAAUUUUAUAAAUAUAAUUUUGGAAGAAUUAUUUCGUAAAUUUUAAAAUUGUAAAGGGUUAGUUUAUAAAAAAGUCCUAAAUCAUUUUGAUUCCGAUUACAAACCUCAAACCUUCGGACCAAAUAUUCCCUUAUUAGAGUCAGUACUAGUUAAGGUACCCACGCGAUGCUGCGGGUAGUUAUUUUAAAAUUUAAUUUUGAAAAUUAGUUAUAAAAAUUAAUUUAAAGAAUUUAAAUGGUGCAAUAAGUAUAUCAAAAAAUUUUAGCCCCCCAUUAGUUAGUGAAAUAAUUUUAGUAAGUAUCGUAGUCCCCCAGUAGUUAGUGAAUGAGAAGAGAAAUCAUUGUUUGUGAUUCUCGCAAUUAAUUUUCGUCAAAUAUAAAAUUAAUUUAAGUUGCAUCAAUUUUUUUUUAUUUUUUAAUAUACAAUUUAUAUGUGAAUGCUUAAUAUGAUAAAAUUAACAUUUAUAUCUAAUACCAAUAGUCUAAAUUAUUUAACAUUUAUUUAUAUAUUUUACAUUUUAUAAAAAUAAAUAGUAAAUUAUAUAAUAAAUUAUUAUAUAAUAAUAUAUCUAUAUACAAAUAAAAUACUAUAUAUAAUAAAUAAAUAUAUAUUUAUAAAUAAAAUUAUAUAUAUAAUAAAUAAAUAUAUAUUACUAGAGAGAGAGAGAGAGAAUGAGACGGAGGUCCACCGUUGGACCUCUCUCUCAUGUGCGUCACUGAGGCCGAAGUGGCCUCGUGGACCCCUGAUGAAACACACGGCUAUGAGCCGCCCCGAUGUUUUCGGCUUUCGCGCAGAGCACGCGGCUGCGCCACGCGUCCCCCGCCCUAGCGCAGCCCCACGCCGCUGACCCGCGGCCGCUCCGCUUACGCCUUUCGUCCCCGAGCCCGCCCGCGCCGGGCACCCGUUCCUCGUCCCCCGCGCGCGCCAGGCCGGAGCCCGCCCAGCGCCGGCGCUGCUCCCGCGCUAGCCCCUGCCUCGCCCGCCGCCGCUAGCGCCGGAGGCCUACCCCCGAGCCAGCGCCCGCGCAGCCCCUGCGCAGCGCCCGCGGCCGCCCUCGCCCGCUCCUCGGCCUCCCCACGCCUCGGCUCGCUCCCGCACCGUCGAGCGCCCCGCGCCCGCGCCAGCGCCAGCACCCACACCCUCGCCCGCUCCUCGGCCUUCUCGCGCCACGUAUGCAGUUAUUGAGGAAUAAUAUAUAGUUAUAGAUUAUAGAUUAUAGAUUGAUUUUGAAUUUACAAGUCUAUUUGAGAUUUAGAAGUCCUAGGUUUAACUCUCCAAACGUGUCUAAAAUUUGGGACUUGAGUCUCACAAUUCAAGUUAAAUAAUAGGGGCAAUAGUUUAUAUAGCCUUGAAAAGUUUUCGAUUUUCUGAUUUACCUCUCUUAGAAGGCUAAUAUUGAAAAUACAUUUUUUACGUUUCAACCUAUUUCAAAUAUAUCCCUAGAGUUAAAUUCUGUUAAUGAACUGUUAGCAAUAACUGUUAUCUGUAUGAAAUUACUACUUAACCUUUCAAAUAUACCCUUCUACCAUCAUUGACUUUUCUUAUUUGCCCUUAAGUCAGGGGCACAAAAAAUAUUUAAUUUUUGAUCUUUUCAAAUAUACCCUUUUACCAUCACUAAUAAUUUUUAUUUGCUCUUAAGUUAAGGGCAAAAAUGGUAUUUUAAUUUUUUAAAACUUUAGUAGAUAUUUAACUUACGUUUAACUUAAGUUAACUUAAUGGGUGGUAACUGCACGGAUAUUUUGGAAUAACGGAGGUACAUAUGAGGGGUAUAUUGAAAAAAAAAAGGGUACGUAAAAUAUUUUUGAAGUUUUCAGUGGAAGCUUUUACAGGCUUGAGCCCUAUGAGUUUCUAAAUAGAAAAUAUUUUGACUAUUUUUAUGCCAUCAAAUAUAUAUAACAUUUUCAAUUACAUGUAUGAACUAAUCAAAGUUUUUUUUGCAUUAAGACAACAUUUUCAUAUCUAAAUUCAUAUAAUUUGUUUUCAUAUCUAAAUUCAUGGAGUUUGGUGAAGAGUUUGGUAAAGAAUAAAGUACAAUUUAGAAAGUGGAAGCACCCCUAAAUUCCAAUCAUUUAAAAUGAGAUAAUAAUUUCA
RNAcentral lists this long non-coding RNA (66883 nucleotides) under Ananas comosus (pineapple). Its description in RNAcentral is "long non-coding RNA (ACOM_LNC001142)". Lineage: Eukaryota; Viridiplantae; Streptophyta; Magnoliopsida; Poales; Bromeliaceae. The record is from RNAcentral.